This 48266-nucleotide long non-coding RNA is filed under the name Populus tremula. Its description in RNAcentral is "long non-coding RNA (PTRE_LNC003220)". The stretch from base 16667 to 16773 matches the Rfam family "Plant small nucleolar RNA R71". Lineage: Eukaryota; Viridiplantae; Streptophyta; Magnoliopsida; Malpighiales; Salicaceae. The record is from RNAcentral.
UCACUUGUGACAAUUCUGGAAGUGUCGCGAAUUUCAGCCUUCCACAUUUUGGUCUGAGAGGUACGCUUCGUAGUUUCAACUUCUCAUCCUUCCCUAAUCUUCUCACUCUCAAUCUCUGGAACAAUUCACUCUAUGGAACUAUUCCAUCCCACAUUAGUAACCUGACCAAAAUCACCAAUUUAGUCUUGUGUGAUAAUCAUUUCACAGGAAAUAUUCCACAUGAGAUAGGAUUGUUAACAAGUCUUAACUUUUUAUAUCUUUGUGAAAAUAAUCUCACCGGUUUGAUCCCAGCCUCUAUUGGAACUCUAAAACACCUAUCCAUUCUCUAUCUACGGGGUAACAAACUCUCUGGCUUGAUACCUCCAGAGAUUGGAUCACUACAGUCUCUUAGUGACCUUGAAUUGUCGAGCAAUGAUUUAACUGGUAGUAUCCCUUCUUCUAUUGGAAAUCUGAGAAACUUAUCAAUUCUUUAUCUCUUUGAUAACAAACUCUCUGGUUCCAUCCCUUCUUCUCUUGGGAACAUGACUAAGCUCAUUCAUUUGGCUCUUUAUAAAAAUAAUCUCACCGGUUUGAUCCCAUCCUCUAUUGGAACUCUGAAACACCUAACCAUUCUCUAUCUAUGGGGUAACAAACUCUCUGGUUCCAUCCCUUCUUCUAUUGGGAACAUGACUAAGCUCAUUGACUUGCAGCUUAGUGAAAAUAAUCUCACCGGUUUGAUCCCAUUCUCUAUUGGAACUUUGAAACACCUAACCAUUCUCUAUCUAUGGGGUAACAAACUCUCUGGCUUGAUACCUCCAGAGAUUGGAUCACUACAGUCUCUUAGUGACCUUGAAUUGUCGAGCAAUGAUUUAACUGGUAGUAUCCCUUCUUCUAUUGGAAAUCUGAGAAACUUAUCAAUUCUUUAUCUCUUUGAUAACAAACUCUCUGGUUCCAUCCCUUCUUCUAUUGGGAACAUGACUAAGCUCAUUGACUUGCAGCUUAGUGAAAAUAAUCUCACCGGUUUGAUCCCAUUCUCUAUUGGAACUUUGAAACACCUAACCAUUCUCUAUCUAUGGGGUAACAAACUCUCUGGCUUGAUACCUCCAGAGAUUGGAUCACUACAGUCUCUUAGUGACCUUGAAUUGUCGAGCAAUGAUUUAACUGGUAGUAUCCCUUCUUCUAUUGGAAAUCUGAGAAACUUAUCAAUUCUUUAUCUCUUUGAUAACAAACUCUCUGGUUCCAUCCCUUCUUCAAUUGGGAACAUGACUAAGCUCAUUGACUUGCAGCUUAGUGAAAAUAAUCUCACCGGUUUGAUCCCAUCCUCUAUUGGAACUCUGAAACACCUAUCCAUUCUCAAUCUAUGGGGUAACAAACUAUCUGGCUCCAUCCCCUCUUCUAUAGGACAGCUCGAAUCCCUUGUUGAUUUGAGAUUGUUCUAUAAUAAUCUCAAUGGUUCUCUGCCCCCCGAGAUGAAUAAUCUCACACAUUUGAUGAGUUUGUAUUUGUCUUCAAACAAUUUCACUGGACAUUUACCACGAGACUUGUGCCUUGGUGGGUUGCUUGUAAAGUUUACAGCCCACUCCAAUCAUUUUUCUGGUCCAAUCCCAGAAAGCUUACGAAAUUGUACUAGUCUAUUUAGAGUUAGGCUUGAAUGGAACCAAUUGACGGGGAAUAUUUCUGAAGAUUUCGGCCUCUACCCAAACUUGAACUAUAUGGACCUAAGUCACAAUGAUUUGUAUGGUGAGCUUACGUGGAAAUGGGGAGGUUUUCACAACUUGACGAGCCUACAAUUGUCAAACAAUAAUAUCACAGGUGAGAUACCAUCAGAGCUUGGAAAGGCUACUGGGCUGCAAGUCAUUGAUCUCUCGUCAAAUCUCCUGAAGGGGACAAUUCCAAAAGAAUUGGGGCAGUUGAAGGCGUUGUUCAACCUUGCUCUUCAUAACAACCAUCUUUCUGGUGUCGUUCCCUUUGAAAUCCAAAUGCUAUCUCAACUUGAAUACCUUAAUUUAGCUUUUAAUAACCUUGGUGGAUCAAUCCCAAAACAACUGGGAGAGUGCUCAAAAUUAUCACAGUUGAACUUGAGUCAUAAUAAGUUCAUAGGGAGCAUCCCAUCUGAGAUAGGCUUCCUGCAUGUUCUUGGAAAUCUAGAUCUCAGUGGGAAUCUACUGGCAGGAGAGAUACCAUCAGAAAUUGGGCAAUUGAAACAAUUAGAAACUAUGAACCUCUCUCACAACAAACUUUCCGGUUUGAUUCCAACUGCUUUUGUAGAUUUGGUGAGCUUGACAAUUGUAGACAUCUCCUACAAUGAACUAGAGGGCCCUAUCCCCAAAAUCAAAGGCUUCAUUGAAGCUCCAUUUGAAGUUUUUAUGAAUAAUAGUGGUCUCUGUGGAAAUGCUAGUGGUCUAAAGCCUUGUACACUUUUUACAAGCAGGAGAAAAAGCAACAAAAUUGUCAUUUUGAUUCUUUUUCCUCUCCUGGGCAGUCUACUUCUACUACUUACCAUGGUUGGAUGUUUAUACUUUCGCCACCAAACAAGUAGAGAAAGAAACUCCUUUUUAGAAGAGCGACAAAGUCCACUCAGUUUUGCAGUAUGGGGCUACGAGGAGGAGAUCCUACAUGAAACUAUCAUCCAGGCCACUAAUAAUUUCAACUUCAAUAAUUAUAUAGGGAAAGGGGGAUACGGAAUUGUUUAUCGAGCCAUGUUGCCAACAGGUCAGGUCGUUGCCGUGAAGAAACUUCACCCAUCAAGAGAGGGCGAGCUUGUGGAUUUGAAAACUUUUAGAAAUGAGAUUCGCAUGUUAAUAGAUAUUCGGCAUCGGAAUAUUGUGAAGUUAUAUGGAUUUUGUUCAUUAAGAGAGCACUCUUUUUUAGUUUACGAGUUCAUAGAAAGGGGAAGUUUGAAGAUGAAUUUAUCUAGCGAAUAACAGGCUAUGGACUUGGAUUGGAAUAGAAGGCUUAAUGUUGUUAAAGGAGUGGCCAAUGCAUUAUCCUAUUUGCACCAUGAUUGCUCGCCUCCAAUCAUUCAUCGAGACAUUUCCAGCAGCAAUGUUCUUUUAGAUUUGGAAUACGAGGCUCGUGUUUCGGAUUUUGGGACAGCUCGGCUCUUGAUGCCUGACUCGACCAACUGGACGUCAUUUGCUGGCACCUUCGGAUACAUAGCUCCAGGUACAUACUUGAUUUCAUUCUUAACAUAUAUAUAUGAAUCAAUUGCUAAAGGAUGAAAACGGAGGGCUGCUUGUGGAUGCUCUUAAGGUUAUGUAUAAUAAAUUGUCAUAUUAGCAGUACGAAACAGCCAGGGCUAUGAAAAAAUGACCGAAUUUUUGCAGAGCUAGCUUACACAAUGAGAGUGAACGAGAAGUGCGAUGUCUACAGCUUUGGAGUGGUCACAAUGGAAGUGAUAAUGGGAAGGCAUCCGGGUGAUCUCAUCUCAUCUCUUUCUGCAUCAGCAUUUUCCUCCUCGUCGUGCUCACAAAUCAACUAGAAUGCAUUGUUGAAGGAUGUGAUAGACCAACGUAUCCCACUUCCUGAAAAUGGAGUUGCAGAAGGUGUGGUCAACAUUAUCAAAAUAACAUUGGCAUGCUUGCUUGCCAAUCCCCAGUCUAGGCCAACCAUGCGACAAGUAGCUUCGGAGCUCAUAGCUCGAUGCCCUCCGCUGGCAAAGUCAUUCUCCGCAAUAACAUUGGAAGAUCUGAUGCCUCAAACAACUGUGACAGGCUGAGAAUUUUCCAAAAGAUUUUCUAUAAUUAUGUAGCAUGUGAUUGUUUCUACUUAUGUUAGUUUCAAUUUUCGUAGCUUUGUUUGUAAUAAAUUAUUUCGCCGCUUUGUAUUUUGUUUCUUCAACGAUUAAUAUGUUUUAGUACAGUAUUAUUAUCAAUCAUAGUGAAGAAAGGCUCUCUGCUAUAAUGAGGACACCUGGAUUUCAAGAUUUUGUUUCAUCCCUUGUAAUAAAAGAAAUCUUCAAUUCAUUAUUGAGCUGAAAUGAAUAAACUAGCAUGAGAGGCUUUUAGAAUUGAUGCACAUACUAUGCAUCUGCACUUAAACUAUGAAUCCACACUGAUAAUACUACAAAAACUUAAACUAUCAACUACACAGAGUUCUUCACAGUGAACUCUUGAAGAAUCCUUCGUGCAGCCUGGAUUCUUUAAAGAAAAGAAAAAAGAUACAAACAUAAUUGAAUCAAGAAGUUUUUUAAGUUUUUGGUGAAUAAAUGAAUCAAUUAGUUGACACAAAAAAAAAGUGACAGAUUUGUAAAUUCCUCACAUCAACUACAUUAUCAUUUUCAUGGAUUUGUAAAUUCCUCACAUCAACUACAUUAUCAUUUUCAUGGGUUCUGUUCAUUUCCUUGUGGGUAGGGUUCUUUCCUGUAAUUAAAGUAAUAUAAUUUUGCAGGGGCGAGCAGGCCCAUGAGGCCCGCUUUUUUAUAUACUAAACUGCAGUUUAAGCCCAAACAAAUAUAAAAAACAAAUAUGCAUUUCAAAAAAUAUGCCAGAAACGCAGACAAACAUGUAUUCAAAUGGAUAUAUAGAAUUUGAUGGAAGAUAUUGUUUUUAAGAACAAUUUUUUAAAAAUAUAUAUAUUAAAAUAGUAUAUAUUUUUUAUUUUUUAAAAUUAUUUUUAUAUUAAUAUAUCAAAAUAAUUAAAAAAAAAUUUAAUUUAAAAUAAAUAAAAAAAACUCUAAUUUUUUAAAAAACAUAACUACUCACCACAAAAACAAGCAAAAUCCAAGUUGUAACACAGUUUUCAAGGUUUAUCAUUUGAACCAACAAAUCAAAACGGUUAGAAUCCAAUUUUCUUAAAGCAACUUUGUUUGCUUUUGAAAAUCUUUGACACAAAUCAAUGUUGAUAUUUUAAUAUUUUUAAAACAAAAACAGAAAUGAUAUCCAAAUUCACGUUUUUCAGUAAUUUGCCAGUACCAUUAUUCCUCUUUCCUUUGAAGCAUAACAUUCAGAAAAAUAAAAAAAUUACUUAAACGAAUUGAAAGAAUUCAAUGAAUGGGUACAACGUUCAAAAACACGAAGAAAAGGAAUGUCCAAUUUAAUAAAACCUUCCAUGCUGCAGUAACAUGCCUCUCUUCAGUCAAUGGUGCUCCCACAGCAAUACGUAAUAUGUACUUGCCUGAUAGAACCUGCAAAGAUUGGUCAAUAUAACCAACUUUUUUUUUCCUUCUUCUUUUUUAUAUGAACAGGCAUGAAUCAGAUUUUAUCCGAAAUAUUGUGGAAGAUAUGUUGGCUAAAUUGGGUCCUAAAUGUCUAUAUCGUCCUGAGCACCUUGUGGGUAUUGAUUCUCACGUUGAUAAUAUUAUUGCCCUACUAAGAAUUUUUACAGAUGAAAGUCGCAUUGUGGGCAUACAUGGAAUGGGCGGGAUAGGUAAGACAACUCUAGCAAAAGUUGUAUUUAAUCGGCUCUUCCGUGAAUUUGAGGGAAGUAGUUUUCUUUCUAACGUCAAUGAACAUUCAAAAGCCCUCAAUGGUUUGGUUCAGUUACAAAACCAGCUGCUUUGUGAUACUUUGAAAACAAAAAGUAUUGUUAAGAUCAAUAAUGUAGACAGGGGAAUGAUUUUAAUCACAGAAAGACUCUGUUACAAAAGAGUUCUUGUUGUUCUUGAUGAUGUGGAUAACGAGUAUCAAGUUAAAGCAUUAGUGGGAGAAAAUAGGUUUGGUCCUGGAAGUGUAAUAAUUGUUACAUCUAGAAAUGAGCAUUUGCUUACUCGAUUUGCAGUGCAUGUAAAAUAUGAGGCUAAACUGUUGACACAAGAUGAGUCCCUUCAGCUUUUCAGUUGGCAUGCCUUUAGGACGUUCCAUCCACCGGAUGAUUAUGCUGAGCUUUCCAAAGAUGCCUUAAAGUCAAAUACGAUUUCAAAUUCAAUUGAUAUAUAUUUUUUUGUCCCUCAAGUCCAUUAGGGCAUAACAUUGACUGGCUAUAGAUGUGAAAAUGAUAAACUUCCUGAUCCUCCGUUUCCAUGAAAGUUCUUCUACAUAAUAUAAUAUUCUAAUUUACAUUUUUAAUUUUCCUCGAAACUUCCUCCAUAUAAUAUAAUAUUCUAGUUUACUUGUGUAAUCUUCGCUAAUGUCUUCACAUGCCAGGCAAACUACGAGGCUAAACUGUUGACACAAGAUGAGUCCCUUCAGCUUUUCAGUUGGCAUGCCUUUAGGACGAUCCAUCCACCGGAUGAUUAUGCUGAGCUUUCCAAUGAUGUAUUAAAGUGUGCUGGUGGGCUUCCUUUAGCUCUUGAAGUUUUGGGUGCUUCUUUGUUCGGAGAAAAAAACAAAUCUGUAUGGAGAAGUGCUAUUGAAAAACUGCGAAAAACUCCAGAUCAUGAUGUCCAGGCAAAGCUCAAGAUAAGUUUUGACGCUGUUGGUUAUUUUUGCAAGUGCACAAAUCGUAACAAGUAAUAAAGUGAUGAGUAGAGUAUCGUCCCACGAGGAUUUGUAAAAAUUAAUACUAAUUACCAAAGUCUUUUAAAUUAUGAUCUAUUUGAAGAAUCGAAUGAGAUAGUUUAUGAAACAAAAAAUUAAUGAUUAAAAGGUAACAACUAUUUGAUUAAAUAUUAAUGAAUUCAAUUGUACUGGUUCUAGGAUUUCUGACUUACCGUAACUAUGCCUAUGUGAACUUUCUCAUUAAAUUAAUUACUCCUAAUGUUGAUAAUCAGGUUUUUCUAUGUAAAUAUUAAUCUCUCUCGAGCAUCAAUAAAUUAUUUCGACAAACAAAUUUCAUAUACUCUACGAAAGUUCUGAACUUGUCGAUUUAUUAAGUACUGUAAAACCUGUAACGAUUACAAAAGUUCUAGGAUAUCUCUAUCCUAUAGAUUUCUUAAGGUAUUUCAAACAAUAGCUAAAACAAUUAUUACUUCUCAGUUUCAAAUUGAAUUCUAAAUCAUGCAAAUGUUGGCCAAACACACGCAAGCAUUACACAUAGAAUGAAAUACUCAACAUCUUAAUGUAAUAAUUCAAUCGAAGAAAUUGUUCACAUAUCAUAGUAAGGUUACAUCAAAAAUCCCAGAAUAAAAGUCUACUCCAUAGUUAAAUUAAAGAGAAACAAACUUGAUACGAUGAACAUCACUCAAAAGCAGAGAAUUUCCGUCGAAAAGAUAGGUGUCCUCCCGGUUUUUAAUAGUUUUGCCUCUGCCUUUUUUUUUUCCCUUGGUGCCGCCUCCUCUCUUUUUUUUUUAUGUUGUAGGUUUUUCCGUCUUAAUCCCCCUUUUUCUUCUUUUAUAUUGUGGCUUUUCUACCCCUGCAGUAAUGAGGAAAGUUUCCUUUUCUGCAUUAAAUUCCUUCCUACUCAGACAUUGCGGGCCCGAUUUGAGGUAGAAAACGUGUGAAUUAAAGAUCUCUAUUUCUGGAGAAAUUGUAGAGAAUCAAAUUUCUUUCCAACAAAACUGAUCUUGCAAUUUUUGGACGUCUGCGUGUGAGAUAAGGGCCAUAAACCGAAACAGUCUUUGCAGUGCAGGAAUUUCGGGCUGGUUCAAUCCUUGUUUUUCAACUCGCUUUUUGGGCUUCGAAACAACAAAACUGAGUUAUAUGCCCUUCAUAUGUUUUGUAGACCUUCAUCUCAGCUAUUUGAAAAUGGUUACGAACAUCCGGAACUAAAUUGUAUAGCUUUUUUGCAGCACAUAAUGAAUCACUGUUCAGUUUCACUGCCCGGCUCUGCCUGUUCAGUAACCUAAGAUCUGAAAACACAUUAAUUUCCCACGAGGUCAAUAGUUCAAAAAGAGAUUCAAAAUUCUAAUUUCUUGUGCAACAUAUCCAAAAUAUUUAAAAAUCAAGCAUGAAUAGCGAAAAUAUACAUGCUAAAAAUUCCCUUAUCAAAUACCCCCAAACUUGAAUGUUUGCUUGUCCUCAAGCAAAAAGGAAACCAUGAAAGCAGAGUGCUAAAAGCUCAUGAUAAGUUCAACUUUCACAUUUAAAAGGCUCCAUCAUGCAGCAUUCACUUCUUGACUUAGCUCAUAGACAAUAUUAGAUAAUGAAAAAUAAGCAUUCUACUCUCUUCAGGUCGUUGUACAAACUUCCAACUCAUCCAUGUGUUUCAUGUGUUUAGCAUCCUUGAACCGUGCACAGUCAUUCCGUCAUUAUUUUUUUUUUUUUUUUUUUUUUUAAACAAGGUAGCCAACUUUAGGAGUAAUAACACACUUUUACUUGUCUUUUGACAAGGGUGAUUUUUUUAAAUUUAUCACUUGUCUUUUGACGCGAAUACAAACAUUUGUGAUGAAUGCACCCGGUUACUUAACAGGUCAUAAACUUAAAAUGCUUUGCAUACUCAUAUUUUAAGCUGCCGUUUGACGUAAAAGUAAACAUUUGUGAUGAAUACUCCUAGUUACUAAGCAACUCAAAACAUUGGAGUAGAUACACAUCAUAUACUUAUUCAUUCAAUUUCAUACUCAUUAUCACUCCUUGUUUUAUAUUUUUCUUAGAGGGUAAUAACAAGAAAGAACAACACACUUAUCUCUUAUGCAUAACUACACAAUUCACAUGAUGUGCUGGAAAAGUGUACUUCAAUAAUUCAAAAGAAAAUAGCAUGCUUAAUCCAACUUUAUAAGAUAUCAUCCGCUCUAAGCCAAGAAAUAUCAUGGUUACAUCAUGAAGCACCUAAAAAUGUCAAAGUUGGUCUUAAAUGCAUAUCACUUUUCACCCUCUGUUUUCAUGGUUCUAGUGUGCAGUGUCUUUCAUAGUCAAAGCAUGCAAUGUCUCCCCCAAACUUAAAUAUCACAUUGUCCUCAAUGGAAAAAUAAAGAAUAGAAAGGCUUACGAAUACUUCCUUUUGACUUGUGGGUGUGAGUUUGUUGUGCUCCUGGUUAUUUGCUUGUAUCAUCAAUUCCUGCACAACUCAAUUAAACACAUAAGGGUUUUUUUUUUUUUUUUUUUUGGGGUUGCCUCCCAAUCAACGCUUAGUUAUAGUCAUUAGCUUGACUUUUCCAUUUAUCUAAGAUGAAGUGAGAGGGAUAUCAUCCCUUUUCCCAAUAGACUCUCCAUUCCUAUAAUGCUUCAGACGCUGCCCAUUCACUGUGAAUGUUCCCUUUUCAUCAUGGGUGACCUCAACUGCUCCAUAAGGAAAUACCUUCACAACUGUAAAUGGUCCUGACCAUCGUGAUUUAAGCUUACCAGGAAACAAGCGGAGCCGUGAAUUGAAGAGUAAUACCUGUUGACCAGGGACAAACUCCUUGCGUACAAUGUGUUUGUCAUGCCAUGCCUUGGUUCUUUCCUUGUAUAUCUUGGCAUUUUCAUAGGACUUGUUGUAACCCAUUUUUAGGUCCCCAUGAAAAAUAAAAUAAAUAGCCAAAAGAGUUUAGAAAAAAUAACGGAAGGCAGAAGCGCUCAGGAAACAGUCAGAAAAUUAGUCAAGGAAUUUAAAAAUACAAGGAUUAAAUUUUUGACAGUAUAUUCUUGAAGGAUGAGAGCCCUAUUGAGAAGGAAAAUUUGAAUUUUGAGGAGAAAAGCCCAAAUUUGGAUGUUUAUGGACUUAAUUGGAUUUUUAUGGACUUAAUUGGAUUUUUAUUUGAAUUUAUAAAGGAUUUGAUUGCAAGAAAAAUUAAUUUUUAAGUCAAUUUGGGCUUUAAUUUGAAGAAAUUUAAGUUCUGGGGCUAAAAUAUAUUUUUUAGGAAUUUAUUGGGUCAAAUCAGGGGCUUAAUUGCAUAAAUAUUGAAGUUUAAGGGCCAAUUAGGGAUUUAAUUAAGAAAAUCCAAAACCAGGGACCAAAUUGGAAGAGGCGCGUAAAUGGAGGGGCUGCAAAUUUUUCGGUUCAGGGGCCUAAUUGAAGAAAUUGAAAGUUUAUUAAUCAAUUGAGGGCUAAAUUGCAUAAAUCAGAGACCAAGGACCAAAGUGAAAAAGGCAGCCAACAAGAGGGGCGGAGACCGAGUCGAAGGACUGAUUUGGAUUUUGACCCUUUAAAUGAAACGGCGCGUUUUAUCCAAAACGACGCCGUUUCAUAUAUAUAUAUAUAUAUAUAUAAAAAAAAAGAAAGACCAGAACGGUGUCGUUUUGAACGACACUGUUCGUCUUCUUCCUUUCCCCCGCAGAAACAGAAACAGAGACAAAACCAUUUUUUUUUUUUGUUUUUUUUCAAAAUCUUCACGCGCCUCUCUCUCCUCGCCCCCACCACCUUUAGCAUUGGCCGACCAGCCGUUGCACCGCACUAACGAUGGUCCCCCACGGUUCGGCCCCUAUAAAUAGAGAAGAAAACCGAAGCUGCAAGGGAGGGAGAGAAGGAAAAAAACCGAAGGGAGGAGAGAGAGAGGAGACCGAAGAGAGAGAGAAUAAACAGGAGAGAGUGAAAAUAGAAACAGAAAACUGAAAACAAAAAAAGAAGAAAACAGAAAACCAAGAGAAUUGAAGAAAAAAAAGAGAAAGACCGAAACAAAAAAAAAAGAAAAGGGGAAGAGGAAGAAAAUCUUUUCUCCCCGCAACAGCCACAGCGCCGCCGUCCGUGAAGCCACGCCACCGCAGAGCCACCGCAGCACCGCCUCCUCCACGCCAGGUCACCUCUUCUCCCCCCUUUCGUUAGUUUUUUAUUUGCUUUCCCUGCAUGCAGAAUGAACAUUCUGCAUGCAGGAGAAGGGGGGAAUUAAUUCCCCCCCUGUUGAUGCGUAGCUGGGCCAGGCGGAUCCUGGCCCAGCAUUGUUUUUUUUUGGGCCAGACUGAGUCUGGCCCGGCCUUGUGUUUGUCGGGCCAGACCAGGUCUGGCCCAUACCAGCUCUCUGGGCCAAGUCCGGCCCAGAUAUUUGGGCCGGCCCAGCCCGAAUUAUUUUUAUAUUAUAUAUUAUAUAUUAUAUUAUAUGUGUGUAUAUAUGUAUAUAUAUAUAAAAAAUAAUAAUAAAAAAUAUAUAUUUUAAAAAAUAUCUUAAAAAAAAAUAUUGUGAUGUUUCUGCAUAUUUUUUGUCAAAGUGGUUUAAUGUUGGUUUGUAUUUUUAUACUGUAAAGAUACAAAACCAGUGUUAAAAAAUACCCGGUUUUCGUCAAAAUAUCAAAGAUUUUCAGAAUAAAAAAUGUUUUUGCUUUCAAAAAAAUUCUAAAAAUUCCCUAAAAAUGUUGUUGAUUUUUCUGCAUAUUUUUAUCAAAGUGGAUUAAUAUUGGGUUGUAUUUUUAUACCGUAAGGAUACGAGCUCAGUAUUAAAAUACCCAAUUUUCGUCAAAGCAUAAAAAAAAAUAAUAUUUCCCAAAAAUUGUUUUUGUUUUAAAAUACGGCCUAGUCUCUCCAAUAUAUAUAUAUAAAUAUUAUAACAUCAUAUUUUCACAUAACAAAGAAAAUUUUCAAAGCAAUAUAUGUAUUAACAUGCAUUUUGGCUUUAAUAACCAGUUUAUUCAAGCCAUGAGAACUAGGCCAAUAUUUCAAAAAUUCUAAAAAUCUUUUUGUUUUCUUUUAGUAUUUGGGAUUACGAAUUUAUACGUAAAACGUAUUCCUAAAUAUUAUUAAUAAAGUUUGGUAUAGACGUUAGAACGGUUAGGAUUUUACCCGAUAAGAUAAAAGACCUUCUUACUGAGGAGGAUUUUUUCUUGAACCAUAGACAAACCAACGACUAGAAGUACAAUAACAUUUUAGUUUUUUUUUUAUCAGACAAUAAAACAAUGCAGCUUACCUUAGGUAGGGCGUAUUUGGGGUGCUAAUACCUUCCCUUUACGCAACCAGUCUCCGUACCCGAUCUCUGAGACCAGUUAGGUUCCUAGUGACCAAAAUACUAGGUGGCGACUCCAAAGAACCAAAAUAAAUUCGCCAGUCUAACCCGCAAUUGAAAUUUGUUGUUUUUGGGGUGCGACAGGACUCAUUGCGAAAUUCAUCCAUCUCAUUAAGUUGCAGGAUUCUUUUCUCACCUGCAACCUGCAAAUCCAUGUUCAGUUGUUUCAUUGCCCAGUAUGCCUUAUGCUCUAAUUCCACAGGAAGAUGACAUGCUUUUCCAAAAACUAAUCGAUACGGAGACAUUCCCAAUGGUGUUUUGAAUGCUGUCCGAUAUGCCCACAAUGCAUCAUCUAGCUUUCUUGCCCAAUCUUUGCGAGAAUUACUUACUGCUUUCUCUAAGAUUUGCUUCACCUCUCUAUUUGAUACCUCUAUUUGGCCAUUUGUCUGAGGAUGAUAAGCCAAUGCUCUUUUGUGUCUGACUCCAUACUUAGAUAGCAGUGCUUCAAACUGCUUGUUGCAAAAAUGAGUUCCUUCAUCACUGAUGAUGGCUCGAGGAGUACCAAAUCUGGUAAAGAUGUUCUUUCGUAGGAAAUUAAGUACCACCUUGCCAUCAUUUGUAGGCGUUGCAAUUGCCUCAAUCCACUUUGAUACAUAAUCCACUGCUAAGAGAAUGUAUUUGUUGUUAUAGGAUGAAGGAAAAGGUCCCAUGAAAUCGAUGCCCCAAACAUCAAAUAAUUCAACUUCUAGGAUAUUCUGUAGUGGCAUUUCAUUUCUUCGAGAUAUGUUCCCAGUAUGCUGACAUCUAUCACAAGCAGUAACAAAAGCAUGAGCAUCUUUAAACAUAGUGGGCCAAUAAAAACCUGAUUGCAGAACUUUGGCUGCAGUGCGCUGUGCUCCAAAGUGCCCCCCAUAUUCAAGUGUAUGGCAGUGCUUCAAAAUAUUUGUCAUUUCCUCUUCUGGAACACACCUCCUGAUGACUUGAUCUGCACAAUGCCGAUAGAGUAUCGGCUCCUCCCAGAAGUAGUGUUUGACUUCAGAAAAAAAUUUCUUCUUUUGCUGGUAAGAAAAAUCUGGCGGUAUGAUCUUACCUGCAAGAAAGUUGACAUAAUCUGCAUAUCAAGGAAAGAAUUUGUUAGUGGAAAUUGCUAAGAGUCGUUCAUCAGGAAAACAUUCAUUUAUAACCGUGAAUUUAGGCUCCAGCUGUUGUGUCAAUUCCAGCCUUGAAAGAUGAUCUGCCACCACGUUCUCAGUCCUCGUUUUGUCUUUAAUUUCUACAUCAAAUUUUUGCAGUAAUAGGAUCCAACGGAUGAGUCUAGGCUUGGCAUCUUUCUUAGACACUAGGUGUCUAAUUGCAGCAUGAUCAGUAUAUACCAGUACUUUGUUUCCCAUCAGGUAAGGCCGAAACUUAUCAAAUGCAUAGACCACAACAAGCAACUCUUUCUCGGUUGUGGCAUAAUUGAGCUGGGCAUCGUUGAGUGUUCUGCUGGCAUAGUAUAUGGUGUGAAACACAUUAUUUUUCCGUUGCCCCAGUACUGCUCCAACUGCAUAAUCACUUGCAUCACACAUAAGCUCAAAUGGUUUCUCCCAAUCCGGUGCAAUUACAAUAGGAGCUGUCACUAACUUCUUUUUCAACAGCAUAAAGGCUGUCUUGCAUUCCUCAUCAAACUGAAACUUUGUGUCUUUUAGCAGCAGACUGCAUAGCGGUUUGGAUAUUUUAGAGAAGUCUUUGAUGAACCUCCUAUAAAAUCCCGCAUGACCAAGGAAACUCCUAACCCCUUUUACUGUAGUUGGCGGCAGAAGCUUGUCUAUUGCCUCAAUUUUAGCUCUGUCUACCUCUAUUCCUUUUUCUGAAAUCCGGUGCCCCAACACUAUACCUUCCUUUACCAUGAAGUGACAUUUUUCCCAGUUCAAUAUCAAGUUUGUCUUUUCACAACGCUCCAAAACCAACGCCAACUUUGCAAGGCAUCAUCAAAAGAAGUUCCAAAUACAGAAAAGUCAUCCAUGAAGACUCAAUGAUUUGCUCCACCAUAUCUGAAAAAAUAGCCAUCAUGCACCUCUGAAAGGUAGCUGGUGCAUUACACAACCCAAAAGGCAUUCUUCUGAAAGCAAAAGUACCAUAAGGGCAGGUGAAAGUGGUCUUCUCUUGGUCCUCAGGUGCGAUGGCUAUUUGGUUGUAUCCUGAAUAGCCAUCUAGGAAACAGUAGUAUUCAUGCCCAGCUAACCUGUCCAGCAUCUGAUCAAUGAAUGGUAGGGGGAAGUGAUCUUUGCGAGUUGCCUUGUUGAGCUUUCGAUAAUCCAUGCAAAUCCUCCAUCCAGUUACCGGUCUAGUAGGUAUCAAGUUGUUGUUUGCAUCUUUUACCACUGUCAUUCCUCCUUUCUUUGGCACAACUUGAACUGGGCUCACCCAUGAGCUGUCAGAGAUUGGAUAAAUAACACCAGCAUCUAACCAUUCAGAACUUCUUUUCGGACUACCUCUUUCAUGGUCGGGUUAAGCCUUCUCUGAUGUUCUACUGUUGGCUUGACUUCAUCCUCCAACAGAAUUUUAUGCAUGCAAAUAGAGGGACUGAUGCCUUUGAUAUCUGCCAAUACCCACCCGAGAGCUGCUUAUGUUUUCUCAACACCCUCAACAAUUUUUCUUCCUCUGUUUUGGUCAGCUUUGCAGAGACUAUCACAGGAUAGGUGGAAGCUUCUCCAAGAUAUGCAUACCGAAGGUGUUCUGGCAGAGGUUGCAAUUCCAGAACCGGUGCUUGUUCACUGGUUGAUUUUAUUUUGGUGCUGGUUGUCCCAAAUCUUCAAAGUAUCUUCUGCGUUAGGUUCAAAGAGUCCAUCCAACAUGUAUAUUCUGCUAUUUCAGCAUCCUCUUCCAGUACAUUAUUUACCAAACAUGCUUCCAACGGGUCAGUUGGAAGCUUGACUUUUCAUUAAUUAAGGAGUCCACCACUUGAAUGCUGAAGCAACUCUCCCCAUAUCUGGUUUUGAUGGCUUUGAACACAUUGAAAAUCACCUCCUCUUCAUUCACCCUUAACCGCAGCUCCCCUUUCUUCACAUCAAUUAACGCACCUCCAGUGGCCAAGAAUGGCCGGCCAAGCAAGAUAGGAAUCUCAUUAUCCUCCUCCAUAUCCAGUAUGAUGAAGUCUGCUGGAAAGAUGAACUUGCCCACUUUCACCAAUACAUCUUCAAUUAUUCCCCUCGGAUGCUUCAAUGACCUGUCAGCUAGCUGCAGUGUUACUGUGGUUGGCCUUGCUUCACCUAAACCAAGCUUCUUAAAAAUAGAUAAAGGCAUGAGAUUAAUACUUGCACCUAAAUCACAUAAAGCUUUUUCAAAUAUAGAAUUUCCAAUGGAACAUGGUAUAGUAAAACUCCCUGGAUCCUUAAGUUUAGGAGGUAGUUUCUUCUGCAAAAUAGCACUGCAUUCCUCAGUAAGAGCGACAGUCUCAUAUUCCUCUAGCUUUCUUUUGUUUGAGAGGAUGUCCUUCAGAAAUUUCACAUAGCUUGGCAUUUGUUCAAGAGCAUCUGCAAAAGGAAUGUUAAUCUGCAAUUUUUUAAACACAUCAAGAAAUUUAGAAAAUUGCUUAUCAAGUUUAUUCUUCUUGAGACGUUGUGGACUUGAUCUGCACAAUGCCGAUAGAGUAUUGGCUCCUCCCAGAAGUAGUGUUUGACUUCAGAAAAAAAUUUCUUCUUUUGCUGGUAAGAAAAAUCUGGCGGUAUGAUCUUACCUGCAAGAAAGUUGACAUAAUCUGCAUACCAAGGAGAGAAUUUGUUAGUGGAAAUUGCUAAGAGUCUUUCAUCAGGAAAACAUUCAUUUAUAACCGUGAAUUUAGGCUCCAGCUGCUGUGUCAAUUCCAGCCUUGAAAGAUGAUCUGCCACCAUGUUCUCAGUCCCCUUUUUAUCUUUAAUUUCUACAUCAAAUUCUUGCAGUAAUAGGAUGCAACGGAUGAGUCUAGGCUUGGCAUCUUUCUUAGACACUAGGUGUCUAAUUGCAGCAUGAUCAGUAUAUACCAGUACUUUGUUUCCCAUCAGGUAAGGCCGAAACUUAUCAAAUGCAUAGACCACAGCAAGCAACUCCUUCUCGGUUGUGGCAUAAUUGAGCUGGGCAUCGUUGAGUGUUCUGCUGGCAUAGUAUAUGGUGUGAAACACAUUAUUUUUCCAUUGCCCCAGUACUGCUCCAACUGCAUAAUCACUUGCAUCACACAUAAGACGUUGUGGAAAUGGAAUUCUUUGCAUUAUUUCUUGCAUUGGUUCUGGCAGAGGAUCAGAUUUUUUCAUAUUCUGAAUUGGUUCGGCCAUUUGCUCCUCUUCUUCUCUUCCCGCACUCUUGUUUCCAGCAGUCUGCUCCACUUCUUUUCCACUUCUUAAAGUUAUGGCCUUGCAUUGAUCCUUAGGAUUAAUUUCAGUUGUGCUUGGUAGAUUUCCUUGUUGUCUACCCGUGAGCAUGUUGGCUAACUGACCAACCUGAACCUCCAAAUUUUGAAUUGAAGCUGCUUGGUUCUGCAGAUUGGUAUUUGUAUCAGUCAUGAAUCUACUGGUGUUGUUUGCUAAUUGUGCCAUAGCUUCUUCAAGUUUUGAUUUCUCCUUCAUGUGCUCACUUGAAGAUGGCAUGGCUGGAUUCUUCAUGACAGUUUGAUUGUUCCAUGAGAAAUUAGGAUGAUUUCUCCAACCGGGAUUAUAUGUUGCACUGUAGGGGUUGUUCUGCCGGCUGUAAUUUGACACAAAAUGAGCAUGCUCUGCUUGAGAGAAUGGGUUCCCAACCUGACACUCUUCACUCGUGUGAUUUCCAUGACAAAAAUCACACGUUGUAUGGAUGGCAUUUGCUGACAGUUGAGUGGUUUUCAGUUGCUGAGGUAGUGAAUGGACUUGAGCUGUUAAUGCCGUGAUUGCAUCAAUUUCGUGCACCCCAACAGUCUUCUUCUGUAUGCUUCUUUCAUUUGGCCAUUGGUAAUUGUUCAUAGCCAUUUCUUCCAAUAAGUUGUAAGCAUCAUCCUGUGACUUACUCAUAAAAGCUCCUCCCGAAGCUGCAUCAAUUAGUGUUCUUGUGGAGGCAUUCAAUCCAUUGUAAAAAUUCUGCACCUGCAUCCACUUCGGUAGUCCAUGGUGGGGGCAUCGCCUGAGCAAAUCCUUGUAUCUCUCCCAUGCCUCAUACAAUGGUUCACUCUCAAGUUGGGCGAAGUUAGCUAUCUCAAUACGCAUUUUUGCUGUCUUGGCUGGUGGAAAAAAUUUAGCAAGGAAUUUCUGAGCUAAAUCUUCCCAACUAAUAACAGAAUCUGCAGGCAUGGAGUUUAACCAAUUCUUUGCUCUAUCUCGCAGAGAAAAUGGAAACAAUCUGAGGCGAAUGGCAUCAUCAGUAAUGCCAUUAUGCUUAAAUGUGUCACAAAUUUCCAAGAAACUUGCAAUAUGGGCGUUAGGAUCAUCACUUGGCAACCCAUAAAACUGAACUGAGGUUUGAAUCAUCUGCAGUAUUGCUGGUUUGAUCUCAAAAUUAUUGGCCUCAAUCCUUGGUUUCUUGAUAACAGAACGGAUUCCUGUCACCUGUGGGAGAGCAAAAUCUCUCAAUGCCCGUGUAUCUUGCUCAGGAUUUUCAUUUUCUGCCAUGAUGCUUGAACUGUUUUGAGUCUCUCGCGUUUUCUUUCUUAAUCCCCUUGCAGUUCUCUCAAUCUCAGGAUUAUAAGGUAGCAACGGCUGAUUUUUGUUGCUUCUCAUGCACUAGACAACACACCUAAAGAGCUGAAGACAAAAGGCAAUCAAAUUAGAUCAAAUUUAAUUUAUAUUGAUAUUAUUAGUAAUUUUAUCUAAAAUCCCCGGCAACGGCACCAAAAACUUGUUGGUUAUUUUUGCAAGUGCACAAAUCGUAACAAGUAAUAAAGUGAUGAGUAGAGUAUCGUCCCACGAGGAUUUGUAAAAAUUACUACUAAUUACCAAAGUCUUUUAAAUUAUGAUCUAUUUGAAGAAUCGAAUGAGAUAGUUUAUGAAACAAAAAUUAAUGAUUAAAAGGUAACAACUAUUUGAUUAAAUAUUAAUGAAUUCAAUUGUACUGGUUCUAGGAUUUCUGACUUACCGUAACUAUGCCUAUGUGAACUUUCUCAUUAAAUUAAUUACUCCUAAUGUUGAUAAUCAGGUUUUUCUUAAUGUAAAUAUUAAUCUCUCUCGAGCAUCAAUAAAUUAUUUCGACAAACAAAUUUCAUAUACUCUACGAAAGUUCUGAACUUGUCGAAUUUAUUAAGUACUGUAAAACCUGUAACGAUUACAAAAGUUCAUAGGAUAUCUCUAUCCUAUAGAUUUCUUAAGGUAUUUCAAACAAUAGCUAAAACAAUUAUUACUUCUCAGUUUCAAAUUGAAUUCUAAAUCAUGCAAUGUUGGCCAAACACACGCAAGCAUUACACAUAGAAUGAAAUACUCAACAUCUUAAUGUCAUAAUUCAAUCGAAGAAAUUGUUCACAUAUUCAUAGUAAGGUUACAUCAAAAAUCCCAGAAUAAAAGUCUACUCCAUAGUUAAAUUAAAGAGAAACAAACUUGAUACGAUGAACAUCACUCAAAAGCAGAGAAUUUCCGUCGAAGAGAUAGGUGUCCUCCCGGUUUUUGAAUAGUUUUGCCUCUGCCAAAGGUGUAUUUUUUUUUCCCUUGGUGCCGCCUCCUCUCUUUUUGUUUUCUAUGUUGUAGGUUUGUCGUCUGGUGAAUCCCCCACUUUUUCUCUUCUUUUAUAUUGUGGCUUUUCUACCCCUGCAGUAAUGAGGAAAAUUUCCUAUUCUGCAUUAAAUUCCUUCCUACUCAGACAUUGCGGGCCCGAUUUGAGGUAGAAAACGUGCGAAUUAGAAGAUCUCUAUUUCUGGAGAAAUUGUAGAGAAUCAAAUUGUCUUUCCAACAAAACUAGUCUUGCAAUUUGUGGACGUCUGAGUGCUGAGAUAAGGGCCAUAAACCGAAGCAGUCUUUGCGGUGCAGGAGUUUCAGGCUGGUUCAAUCCUUGUUUUUCAACUCGCUUUUUGGGCUUCGAAACAACAAAACUGAGUUAUAUGCCCUUCAUAUGUUUUGUAGACCUUCAUCUCAGCUAUUUGAAAAUGGUUACGAACAUCCGGAACUAAAUUGUAUAGCUUCCUUGCAGCACAUAAUGAAUCACUGUUUAGUUUCACUGCCCGGCUCUGCCUGUUUAGUAACCUAAGAUCUGAAAACACAUUAAUUUCCCACGAGGUCAAUAGUUCAAAAAGAGAUUCAAAAUUCUAAUUUUCUUGUUCAACAUAUCCAAAAUAUUUAAAAAUCAAGCAUGAAUAGCGAAAAAUAUAUAUGCUAAAAAUUCCCUUAUCAAACGCACUGAAUGAUGAUAUACUAAAAAAUACAUUCCUUGAUAUAGAGAAAAAUUACAGAGGAUAGGUAUAAAAAAAGGUUUCUCUGUUUCUUAAGAAAACAACGUGAAUAUACAACAAUACAUUCUGCAAGGGCUGCUGGUUAUUAUAUAGCAAUACAAGUUGCUUAAAUUGGAUACAUUAAAUAGCCUAAUUCUCAGCUGAUUUACUUCCAUAAUCAGCCAACGUCUAUUUCUGUUUCUGUCUUGUCCUCCAACGUAACAUUCCUUAUUGCUACAGUUGAUUUGUUUCUAUAAUCAACCAAUGUCUCAACGUCUCUUUCUAUUUCUGUUUUGUUACCAUUAAUAUCCUCCCUCAAACUAGGCCGGGGUCGGAGGCAUAGUUUGUUCUUGAAGUAAGCCAGUGCAAUUUUUGACAUAGGUUUUGUGAAGAUGUCAGCUAUUUGGUCAUGAGUGGAGAUGUGUUGAGUAAUGAGAAGUCCAAGGGCAACACGUUCACGUACGAAAUGGUAAUCCAGCUCAAUGUGUUUGCUACGAGCAUGAAACACAGGGUUGACAGUCAUGUGCAACGCACUAAGAUUAUCACAGUAGAGGAUAGGCGGAGAAGUAUGUGAGAUGUGAACAUCUUGUAGGAUGAAAGUGAGCCAUGUAAGCUCUGCCGUUGUGUGUGCCAUAGCUCUGUAUUCGGCUUCAGUGCUGGAACGAGAGACAGUGGGUUGUUUCUUGGCACACCAUGAAAUGAGAUUGCUGCCAAGGAAUGUGUAGUAUCCAGUUGUGGAGCGUCUUGUUGUAGAGCAACCUGCCCAAUCUGCAUCAGAGAAGGCACAAAGAUCAAGUGUAGAGUGGGAAGUAAAGUUUAAACCUGUAUCAAUUGUGCCUUUGAUAUAUCUUAAGAUACGAUGAACCAUUUUGAAGUGUAUAACAGUUGGUGCAUGCAUGAAUUGGGAGACAAAAUUAACACUGUAUGAAAUAUCAGGUCUGGUGAGUGUUAAAUAUUGUAAGGCACCAACAAGCCCACGUAAAACCUGUGGAUCUUGUAGUAAUAUAUCAGUUGCUGCAGUCUUAGUCUUGGCUUCUAGUGGUGUGCUCAUUGGUUUACAAUCCACCAUACCAGCUCGUUCAAGGAUCGUCAACGCAUAGUGUGAUUGAGAGAGGUGAAGUCCUUCAGGUGUAUGAGUGAUUUCAAUACCUAGAAAGUGAUGAAUCGAGCCUAGAUCUUUCAUUGCAAAUUCUGAACUUAGCAGUUGAAUAAGGUUUGUAACCAGAGGAGUAGAGGAUCCUGUGAGGAGUAUAUCAUCAACAUAAAGAAGAAGAAUUAAUGUAUCAGAGUUAGAGUGAAAAACAAAAAGAGAUGGAUCGGCAAGACUGCAAAAGAAACCAUAUUGAAGAAGAAAUAUACUAAACCGGUCAAACCAAGCACGAGGUGCUUGUUUGAGACCAUAAAGAGCCCUUCUUAGCUUGCACACAUGAGAUGGGUAUCGUGAAUCAGCUAUUCCUGGUGGUUGUUCCAUGUAUAUAUCUUCUGAUACAAAACCAUGUAGGAAAGCAUUUUUAACAUCAAGUUGUCGUAUGUGUCAUAACCCAAUUUUUGAACAAAUAAUAAAAAUUAAAUAUAGUUGACAAUGGGGUUAAGACAACAAAUUUUGAAGCGUAAGGAUAAAAUUAUCAGAUUUGAGAAUAAAUUGGUCAGAAAUUGAAGAAUUAAUAAGUUUGGAAAUUUACUUAAAGUUUAGAUUAGUUUAAUUAAUGAAAUUAGAAGAAUUAAUAAGUUCAUGGACUUAAUUAAAACUUUGAUUUAAUUAAUUAAAUAAAUUCAGGGACUUAAUUGAAAUUUAUCCAAAAAGGGCAAAUUGAAAGAAAUUUUUAUUUGCUUAGGGGUCCAAUUGCAAAAUUUCCAAAGUUCAGGGGUCAAAUUGAAAAUGUCCACGGGUUGCUUGAAAACGUCGCCGUUGCUGGGAACAGCUGUGUUCGUCGUCUCCAUCCCGGUUCAAAAGGCUGAAGAUCUGCAACAAAUUUGAUCCGAUCGUGGACCACGUCUCUUGCCCAUGAUCCCCUCUCGUGAUUUGAAUAACAGUCCUGCAAAGAUGGGAUUGAUUUAGGGGGGAAGCUCUCGAGCUCUAUAAAAAGGCACGAACAAGCCAGCACAAAAAAAAAAAACCCAGCAACAAGGAAAAAAAAAACAAAGUAAUUCACCCAGAAAAAAAAGAAGCAGGAGGACCCAAAAAAAACCAGAAAAACACAAGCAAAAAACCCAGAAAAACAGAGCCGGGAUAAACAGAAAAAACCAGAAACAGGGGGGAAAACAGAGGACGCGCACAAAUAAAGAUAGAGACGAGUAUUGGUGCUCAUUGCCUUCGUCCCUGCAAACAACGAAAACCAGGAAUCAAAAACAAGUUCCCCUCAGGCCGGUCUCUUCAUCAUCCUCUCGACUGGAAAACCCAGGAGACACACAGAAAAAAAAACAAGCAGAGGAAAAUCACGAGAUCGCUGCCACUGCCUUCAGCGUUUCCAGAACCUGAAGAGAAAGUAAAGGAAAGCAGAAGAACGAGCAGAAGAGAGAAGGCAGUGCCGGCCAGCCAGAGCUUCGUCAUCGUGUCCAUCGAUUCCAGCAGACCAGGUAAGUGGUUUCUUCUUCUGCAUUUAUUUCAAAUGCCUUAUGCACUGUGCAAGUGAAUUUUAAUUCACUUGCACAGUGCAGCAGCACGCGUGCGUUAACGCACGCGUGCUGCUGAGCCCAGCCGGGCCACUGGCCAGGCCGGGCUGGCUGGGCUUAGCCCAGUCCAUAUCGGCUGAGCUGGGCCCAGCCAAAAAAUACUAUGUUGGGCUGGGCCCAGCCCAGCCCCAAAAAAAAUAAAAAAACAGAAAAAUAAAAAAGGAGGUGGAGAAAAAUAAAAAAAUAAAAAAUGUGUAUGCAUAAAUAAAAAUAAUGUAAAUUUAUUGGUUUAUUCACUAACGCCAGAGUUAGGAAUAAAAAUACCGGUUUAAAUUUAUAUUAUUUUUAUUAGUUGUAUUUUAUUUUAUUUGGAUGAAUAAAAAUAAUGUAAAUUUAUUGGUUUAUUCACUGACGCCAGAGUCAGGAAUAAAAAUACCGGUUUAAAUUUAUAUUAUUUUUAUUCGUUGUAUUUUAUUUUAUUUUAGCUAGAAAAAAUAAAAAAUAUGUGCAUGCGUAAAAAUGAAUGUAGUAUUAUUUAUUUAUUCACUGGCGUCAGAGUUGGGAAUAAAAAAAAACAUUUGAUUUAAAUUUAUUUUUUUUAGCUACGUAAUAUUUAUCAACACCAGAGUUGGAAAUAUUCGUAGUUAAUAUUCACUGGCGCCAGAGUCAGGAAUAUUGUAAGCAAAUUUUCAUAACAUAAAAAAAAAAUAAACAUUUAGCAAUUUAAGACGAAACUAGCAAUGUAGCCUGCCUCAGGCAGGACGUUUAAGGGGUGAUAUAAAUCUUCCCUUACGUAACCAGUCCGAACCAUAAAAUCUCUGUUGACCAGUUAGGGUUCCUAGUGACCAUAAUACUAGGUGGCGACUCCUUAAACAAGAAUAUUCCAUCAAAGAACAGGAUGCCAGAAAUCCGUUCUUUCCAAAGAUUAAUUAAUUUUUAAGGCCGCCGGAUGUCGGGUGCGACAGAAUGGCGACUCCACUGGGGACUAAUGGACUAAGCUUUGCUUUUGUUUAUCAAUUGCUAUAAUGUUUUUAUGUUAUGUUUAUUUGUUUAUUUUUCUUGAAUUUACUGCUUUAGCAUGCAUCCAUGUUUAUAUUGUCAUGCAUCACGUUAGAGCACACACGACAACUGAAAAUCUAGGAUAAGUGGGAAAGUAACGGUACCCCAAUGGCUUUGCCUGGGUAAGACUCGUGAAACCAUCCAACUCUCGCUUGAUUGUUUACUUGGAAGUGGUUGAUAUGCCAAACUGAUAUUACUCAGGGCCUCUAUUUUCACACUACUUGUAAGCCUCAUAUCGACCUUUCAUGGACGAUCACUGAGCAUGCGAGAGACCCUUUGAAACUAGAUAAUGACCAACCCUUUGAUGCACUCAACAAUUAGGAUCUUCCUAUUAGGUUGUCAUCCCGUGAAGGACGUGUCUGCAUUCCAUACGCAUUUUUAAUUGAAUCAACAUUUUUGCAUAAAUUGCAUGAUUUACAUUUACAGGUUGAAAUAUAGGUUCCCAUUUGAAACCCAUUAGAGAAAAAGACAAAUGGAAAUGAAGAAAGAGCCAGUUGGAAGCCCAACAUCAAAAAGAGGUGGACAAUCUUAAAGAAGAAGUCGCAAGGCUUACUAGUCUACUCGAGCAGGCCUUGAGAGAUAAAUCCGGAAAAGCAACACUUAUAGCUCAGCCUGAAGAUGCUGUAAAUCUCAUUCAUCCACAGAAUCUGGGGCAAAUGGGUUGUCAUCUGAUUUCAACAAGCCAUGCAUUUUCACCAGCAUACCCCCGAGAAUGUCGUUUACCAUUGAUUCUACAGAGAAUGAAUCUCAAAAGGGCAAAGGUAAAAGAAGAUGAGCUGAACAAAUUCAUUGCCUAGAACAAAGGAUGAGGGCAUUUGAGGGAAUUCACCUUAUAUCCUAUAAAGGCUGCUGAGAUGUGUUUGGUGCCAACGUAGUCAUUCCAAAAGUUUAGAGUGCCAGAAUUUUAAAUAUACGGGAACUCAAUGCCCUAUAACUCAUCUCAAAGCAUACUGCAACAAAAUGGCUGAGGUGGUUGAUGAUGAGAAACUGCUGAUUCAUUUCUUUCAAGACAGUCUGAGUAAUGGCCCUCACUUGGUAUAUGCGGUUGGACAAUACCAAGGUUAAAAAAUGGAAGGAUUUAGUUGAUGCCUUCAUGAGGCAAUAUAAGUUCAAUAUAGAUGUGGGCCUGAUCGUUUAAGCUUGCAAGCUAUGGAGAAGGAUAACAAAGUCCAUAAGAGAAUACGCCCGGAGAUGGAGUGAGUUAGCUGCACAAGUUAACCCUCCCAUGUUGGAAAAAGAGAUGAUCACUUUAUUUUCCGACACCUUUAAAGCUCCGUACUUUGAAUACUUGGUUAGAAGCUCUGCACAACAUUUCACUGACCUGGUUGUUAUAGCUGAGAGGAUUGAACAAGCCAUUGGGUUAGGUAAGAUUGCUAACCCGACUGAGAAGAACGGUUUCACUGAAGGUGGUUGCCAAGACACUUAUCAUUUCUAUAGCUAAUUGCUUCACAUCGACUCCUAGAAAUCAACUAUCUUGAAGAUAAAGCUAUGGUGAUAUUAGGUCGAGAAUGAUCUACAUUUGAUUUCAAUUGACUGUUGAAAAGAUGCCGUUGUCGAGGAGAAUGAAUGAUUGAAAUAUUCCAGAAAUUCCAAUCAAUGAUCGUUAAAUGUUUAGCCUCUUUAUAUGUUAUCAUACCAGUAUUCAUAGCCCAAGAUGUUGUCAUAAGUUCUUUCUUGUUGAACUUAUUUUCUAAAGUUUCAAUGAAAAUAAUGAGUUUGUCAUUCAAUCGUGUUUACGAUUAGCAUUAUUCAUUUUUUCUGAGAGAGUUUUCUUAUAAAGAUUCACAAACACAUCUUUGAAGCCUUGUGCGAUCUCAUAGACGCAAUUCAUCUUUUACCAAAAAUCAGUUUCCCUAUUGGAGUUUUGAAAAAAAUUGAUCUGGCAUUUUGAUUUCAAAAAAUAAUUUGAUGUUUAUUCAAAAACGAUAUUUUUGACAUUCUACUUAUAGAAUGACAAGUGAAUCAAGCAACUCCAUCAUUGAGGUGACUAAAUUAGAAAAACAAUUAUAAAAAAAAAAUAAACACCCUUACCCCAUUACUCUUGAAUCAUGUGUUUUUAAAUGUAUGAAUAAUGGUAUAUAGUGAACUUGUUGCUCAUAACUCAUGAAAUGCAUCUUUGCAAAGAAUAAACCAUCACACUAUACGAGGUCAAAGUUUAUUGAUCAUAGCUGCUUGCGCUUGAAAUGAGGAAAGGCCAUCUUUGUUAUUCCUUUCACGUUCUAAAAUAAGUACAUCCCUUGCAAACCCUUUUUGAGCCUGAAUAAUUUUUCUUUCAUAAAAAAAUCCCGACUAAGAUCACACCCUACACUGGGGGCAAGUGAAAUUUCAAUGAUCAAGAAGGAUGAUAAAGCCGUGAGAAAGCCAAAAGGCAAAAGAGCCCAAGAAACUCAAAUGCUAGGGAUCAUGCCCACAUCACAAAAAAGGGGCAAGUGAAAUUUCAAUGAUCAAGAAAAGGAUAAAGCCGUGAGAAAGCCAAAAGGCAAAAGAGCCCAAGAAACUCAAAUACUAGGGGGCAUGCCCAAUCACAAGAAAAAGUGAUAACCAAGAUAAAGUGAGUAUGCUCUAGCGAGCAAUGAAAAAGAAAAAAGGGGCAAAUCAAAGAAGAGCGGCAAAGGAAAAUAUGAAUGACGUCAAAAGUCAAACUAUUGAUCGUGAUCUUCAGUCUUUGAAACCCUGAAACACUCUUUGAGCCUUAUGAAUCAUUUUCUUUCAUAGCCAAAAACCACAGCCUAUGUUACGUGCCUGUAGAAGUCCUUUCUAAUCAAGCAAGCAAGCAAUCUAGAACAAUAAACAAUGCUCUCAAAAUGCAAAGAAUACUUUUUCAUAAGAUUCAUGACAUCAAGAAUAAACUACUCAUUAUUAUUCAUGCUGAUAAAAAUAAAUGUUCAAAAAGAGACAAGUUUUUCUCAUACAAAACCUCGAGCUUUUUCUCGAGCCCUUCACUUCAAAACAAAAGGUCAUCUCAUGAUAUGUUUUCACCGAAGACCUCGUUACCAAACACAAGAGCAAAUAAUCUCUUUUCCAAAAGAAAAUAACCAAGGAGUUGCAAGAUUUCAAAAAGCAAAUUGUUAUUUGACUCACAUCGAAAUAAUUUUUGUUUUCAAAAUGCAAGAUCAAGAUUUCAAGAUUCAUUCUAGACCCAUAUUCCUUCCACCAAACUGAAAAGGAGAGAAAUGAGAGAAUGCCUCUUAAAACCUUUAUUUUCUAAGUCGCUGACAGAAGCACACUUAGGGGAAUAACCAAUACAAGGGGGCAACAUUGUGUUUAGAAGGAAAAUUCUAGAAAAGGAGAUGGUAAUUUCCUUCAACCAGACAAGGGGGCAUUUUGGUUUACAAAAGACAGCUCGAUCCUUUCAGCAAGUGAUACCAAUGUUUUUAGCAGUGAAGACGAGUAAUGAAUAAUCCUCUCAAAUUAUUUGACGAAUCAGAAAAUCUUAGCAAGCAAGUGGGUCACGAUGGCACCAAAAUGCUGAGUUGUGCAAACAAAUUUGGAAAGACUUACAUGGGCCAACUCGAGUGGGCUAGAAAGCUAAACGACAAAGAUGACUCAAAUCAGAUAGCAAGAUCUCACCAACAACAAGAAAGAUUAAGAAGAAAUGGGGGCCUAUAUUUCAAAUCAGGUAAAGAUGCAUGCAUAUCAUUUAAACUUGGAGACAUUGGACAAUGAGUUUUGCAAACUUCAUAUGAGAAAAUUCCAACAAAAUCCAUCAAGUGGAAGGCCAACUUGAAAUGGCCAAAGAUCAAAAUUGCUGUUGAAAAUUAUCAUUUUUGAGAAUUUUUCAACCUGGGCAGGCCGCCCAUGAGAAUUAGGCCACCAGAAAAAUCUCUGUAUUUUUUCACCACCUUUCAGUUUCCACACCUGAGGUAGUGCAUUUUCUAUCCUACCUCCAUUCGAGCGCGCCUUCGAGCCCUCGUCUUACAUUCGAGCGCGCCUUUGAGCCCUCGUCUUACAUUUGAGCGCGCCUUCGAGCCCUCGACCAUCAAAGGUAGUGCAUUUUCUAUCCUACCUCCAUUCGAGCGCGCCUUCGAGCCCUCGUCUUACAUUCGAGCGCGCCUUCGAGCCCUCGUCUUAUUUAUUUUCGAGCGCGCCUUUGAGCCCUCGACCAUCAAAGGUAGUGCAUUUUCUAUCCUACCUCCAUUCGAGCGCGCCUUCGAGCCCUCGUCUUAUCAUUCGAGCGCGCCUUCGAGCCCUCGUCUUAUUUAUUUUCGAGCGCGCCUUCGAGCCCUCGACCAUCAAAGGUAGUGCAUUUUCUAUCCUACCUCCAUUCGAGCGCGCCUUCGAGCCCUCGUCUUACAUUCGAGCGCGCCUUCGAGCCCUCGUCUUAUUUAUUUUCGAGCGCGCCUUCGAGCCCUCGACCAUCAAAGGUAGUGCAUUUUCUAUCCUACCUCCAUUCGAGCGCGCCUUCGAGCCCUCGUCUUAUAUUUUCGAGCGCGCCUUCGAGCCCUCGACCAUCAAAGGUAGUGCAUUUUCUAUCCUACCUCCAUUCGAGCGCGCCUUCGAGCCCUCGUCUUAUUUAUUCGAGCGCGCCUUCGAGCCCUCGACCAUCAAAGGUAGUGCAUUUUCUAUCCUACCUCCAUUCGAGCGCGCCUUCGAGCCCUCGUCUUACAUUCGAGCGCGCCUUUGAGCCCUCGUCUUACAUUUGAGCGCGCCUUCGAGCCCUCGACCAUCAAAGGUAGUGCAUUUUCUAUCCUACCUCCAUUCGAGCGCGCCUUCGAGCCCUCGUCUUACAUUCGAGCGCGCCUUCGAGCCCUCGUCUUAUUUAUUUUCGAGCGCGCCUUUGAGCCCUCGACCAUCAAAGGUAGUGCAUUUUCUAUCCUACCUCCAUUCGAGCGCGCCUUCGAGCCCUCGUCUAUUUAUUUUCGAGCGCGCCUUCGAGCCCUCGACCAUCAAAGGUAGUGCAUUUCUAUCCUACCUCCAUUCGAGCGCGCCUUCGAGCCCUCGUCUUAUUUAUUUUCGAGCGCGCCUUCGAGCCCUCGACCAUCAAAGGUAGUGCAUUUUCUAUCCUACCUCCAUUCGAGCGUGCCUUCGAGCCCUCGUCUGAGUUCUUUUCGAGCGCGCCUUCGAGCCCUCGACCAUCAUAGGUAGUGCAUUUUCUAUCCUACCUCCAUUCGAGCGCGCCUUCGAGCCCUAGUCUGAGUUUCGAGCGCGCCUUCGAGCCCUCGUCUUAUUUAUUUUCGAGCGCGCCUUCGAGCCCUCGACCAUCAAAGGUAGUGCAUUUUCUAUCCUACCUCCAUUCGAUCGCGCCUUCGAGCCCUCGUCUUAUUAAAAAAAAAAAAAAAAAAAAUUCCUUGUAUUUUACCAACUGGGCAGGUAACCCAUUACAAUGUGACCAACUGGGCAGGUAACCCAUUACAAUGUGACCAUUUGGGCGGGUAACCCAUUACAAUGUGACCACCUGGGUCGGUAACCCAUUACAAUAUACCAACUGGGCAGGUAACCCAUUACAAUGUGACCACCUGGGUCGGUAACCCAUUACAAUAUACCAUCCUAUACUGGGCAGGUAACCCAUUACAAUGUGACCAUCUGGGCCGGUAACCCAUUACAAUAUACCAAUUGGGCAGGUAACCCAUUACAAUGUGACCACCUGGGUCGGUAACCCAUUACAAUAUACCAUCCUAUACUGGGCAGGUAACCCAUUACAAUGUGACCAUCUGGGCCGGUAACCCAUUACAAUAUACCAUCACAAAAAAAAAAAUGAAAAGAAAAAAAAAAGAAAAAAAUUGGCUGUCUUCCAAAUGACUUGUUUUCUCUAUAAAAGUCAUAUGUCAAUCUCUGGUUUUCGAAGUUUUCAAGACUCUAAAAAAGAGGCAAAAGUUAUUUUUGUAUCUAAUUUUCUUUAUAAAUUUACUACACAAAGCUAAAAGAAAAUGAAAUUUUCUAAUAUCGUUGCAUUGUAAAUAUUAUAAAGAGGGGGCAACUGUCAUAACCCAAUUUUUGAACAAAUAAUAAAAAUUAAAUAUAGUUGACAAUGGGGUUAAGACAACAAAUUUUGAAGCGUAAGGAUAAAAUUAUCAGAUUUGAGAAUAAAUUGGUCAGAAAUUGAAGAAUUAAUAAGUUUGGAAAUUUACUUAAAGUUUAGAUUAGUUUAAUUAAUGAAAUUAGAAGAAUUAAUAAGUUCAUGGACUUAAUUAAAACUUUGAUUUAAUUAAUUAAAUAAAUUCAGGGACUUAAUUGAAAUUUAUCCAAAAAGGGCAAAUUGAAAGAAAUUUUAUUUGCUUAGGGUCCAAUUGCAAAAUUUCCAAGUUCAGGGUCAAAUUAAAAUGUCCACGGGUUGCUUGAAAACGUCGCCGUUGCUGGGAACAGCUGUGUUCGUCGUCUCAUCCCGGUUCAAAAGGCUGAAGAUCUGCAACAAAUUUGAUCCGAUCGUGGACCACGUCUCUUGCCCAUGAUCCCUUCUCGUGAUUUGAAUAACAGUCCUGCAAAGAUGGGAUUGAUUUAGGGGGGAGCUCUCGAGCUCUAUAAAAGGCACGAACAAGCCAGCACAAAAAAAAAACCCAGCAACAAGGAAAAAAAAACAAAGUAAUUCACCAGAAAAAAGAAGCAGGAGGACCAAAAAACCAGAAAAACACAAGCAAAAACCCAGAAAAACAGAGCCGGGAUAAACAGAAAAAACCAGAACAGGGGGGAAACAGAGGACGCGCACAAAUAAAGAUAGAGACGAGUAUUGGUGCUCAUUGCCUUCGUCCCUGCAAACAACGAAAACCAGGAAUCAAAAACAAGUUCCCCCUCAGGCCGGUCUCUUCAUCAUCCUCUCGACUGGAAAACCCAGGAGACACACAGAAAAAAAACAAGCAGAGGAAAUCACGAGAUCGCUGCCACUGCCUUCAGCGUUUCCAGAACCUGAAGAGAAAGUAAAGGAAAGCAGAAGAACGAGCAGAAGAGAGAAGGCAGUGCCGGCCAGCCAGAGCUUCGUCAUCGUGUCCAUCGAUUCCAGCAGACCAGGUAAGUGGUUCUUCUUCUGCAUUUAUUUCAAAUGCCUUAUGCACUGGUGCAAGUGAAUUUAAUUCACUUGCACAGUGCAGCAGCACGCGUGCGUAACGCACGCGUGCUGCUGAGCCAGCCGGGCCACUGGCCAGCCGGGCUGGCUGGGCUUAGCCCAGUCCAUAUCGGCUGAGCUGGGCCAGCCAAAAAUACUAUGUUGGGCUGGGCCCAGCCCAGCCCCAAAAAAAAUAAAAAAACAGAAAAAUAAAAAAAGGAGUGGAGAAAAAUAAAAAAUAGAUAUAAAUGUGUAUUGAUAAAAUAAAAAUAAUGUAAAUUUAUUGGUUUAUUCACUAACGCCAGAGUUAGGAAUAAAAAUACCGGUUUAAAUUUAUAUUAUUUUUAUUAGUUGUAUUUUAUUUUAUUUGGAUGAAUAAAAAUAAUGUAAAUUUAUUGGUUUAUUCACUGACGCCAGAGUCAGGAAUAAAAAUACCGGUUUAAAUUUAUAUUAUUUUUAUUCGUUGUAUUUUAUUUUAUUUUAGCUAGAAAAAAUAAAAAAUAUGUGCAUGCGUAAAAAUGAAUGUAGUAUUAUUUAUUUAUUCACUGGCGUCAGAGUUGGGAAUAAAAAAAAACAUUUGAUUUAAAUUUAUUUUUUUUAGCUACGUAAUAUUUAUCAACACCAGAGUUGGAAAUAUUCGUAGUUAAUAUUCACUGGCGCCAGAGUCAGGAAUAUUGUAAGCAAAUUUUCAUAACAUAAAAAAAAAAUAAACAUUUAGCAAUUUAAGACGAAACUAGCAAUGUAGCCUGCCUCAGGCAGGACGUUUAAGGGGUGAUAAUAUCUUCCCUUUUACGUAACCAGUCCCGAACCAUAAAAUCUCUGUUGACCAGUUAGGGUUCCUAGUGACCAUAAUACUAGGUGGCGACUCCUUAAACAAAGAAUAUUCCUAUCAAAGAAUAGGAUGCCAUAAAUCCGUUCUUUCCAAAGAUUUAUUAAAUUUUUAAGGCCGCCGUGAUGUCGGGUGCGACAGUAUGGACCAUUUAUGAACUAGUGCUAUGGAGAUAACCAUGCGAAUAGUUCCUGGUUUAAUAACUGGAGAAUAGGUCUCAGUAUAGUCCAAUCCAUCAAUUUGGUGAUACCCUUUUGCUACUAACCGAGCUUUUAAGCGAUCUAGUGAACCAUCGGGUUUGAGUUUUGUUUUGAGUACCCAUUUAGAGCCAAUAACAUGCAUGGCUUCUGUGCGAGGGACAAGCUCCCAAGUAUGAUUUCUAUGAAGAGCUUCCAAUUCCUCUUCCAUUGCAGCUUUCCAACCAGGGUGAGCUAAAGCAGACCGAAAGUUAGAAGGCUCACGUGGGAUGGCUGUUGAGGACUUAAAGGAUGUUAAUGCAUAUUUUGGAUUAGGCUUAAGGAUCCCUCUCUGUGAUCUUGUUACCAUGGUAUGUGAGAGAGGAGGAGCACAUGGAGAAUGCACAAGCUGCGUGUCUAACUCCAAUAAAGCAGGAUUGGAUGGUGAGAGAGAUAGAUGUUGCAGUUGUGUGUCAUCUUCAUUGUCAGAUUCUACCAGUUGUAUUUCAAUUGUGUGAUCAUUAUUAACAUGUUGCUCUGUAGUUUCAAUAGUUAAAAUAGAAGGGUUGUUAGAUGUGUUGGCAGUGAUAUGAGGCAGUGAUGUAGACUCUGAUUGGGAGGGAGGAAAGUGGAGUUCUACUAUUCCAUUGUCAUUGUUAUGUUCAACCAGUUGUGUUCCAGUCACAGUGUCAGCACUAACAUGUUCUGUAAUUGUAUUACUAAUAGCAUAAUCAUCAUGUAAAGGAAGAGAAGAUGAUAGGGUAUGUGGUAAUGAGCUUAAGCAUGGUGGAGGAGACAUUACAGGUUGUAUGUCUACGGCAGUCUUGGAGAUAGUAGGUGGUAACCAUGAAUCAAAGAUGCUCAUAGCAUGUGUAGGGGACCUUGAUAUGUUUGUUAAAUUGCCUAGUAACAUAAUGUUCAAAAGCAAGAUAAGAAUCUGCAAAAUCAGACUUAUGUAGUAAAGGGAUUAUCCAAGUAUAUUUAGAAAAAUCAUCGACUAAACACGCAUAAUAUCUGAAUUUUCCUAUUGAUAAAACAGGAGCAGGUCCCCAUAAAUCACAAUGAAUUUUUUCAAAAAUACCAGAACUUGAGUGUUCAGAACGAAAAAAAGGUAAUCGACUAAGUUUUCCAAAUUGACAACUAUCACAAACAUGUUCAUGCUUUAUAGUUCCUUUAACAUCUAUCAAGCUUUUAUUGUGCAAUAAUUGUAAAGCAGAGAGGUGCGGAUGUCCUAAACGCUGAUGCCAUAUAUCUGCUGGUCCUGAUCUGAAUCGAUUAGAGAAGUAGAGCUCAGGCAUGGUGGAAAGAGUAUAGAGAUCACCCUUGCGACAUCCUGUGAUCACGGGUUGUCCUGUCUGUCGUUCCUUAAUACAGAAAUCAACGUCAGAAAAUUCACAAUUAACAGGAAAUUGGGAUGUUAGUUGACUUAUAGAGAGUAAAUUCUGUUUUAAGUCUGGGACUAACAAUACAUCAUCAAGUGGCAAGAUUUUAUUUUUUUGUUUAAUGGAUGAGUCUCCAAUACCAUGUAUUGAUAUGGAGGAACCAUCACCAAUAAGAACAGAGUCAGAACCAUAGUGAUUGCGGAUAUUUUUUAACAUACCUGGAUUACCUGUCAUGUGGUUGGAAGCUCCCGUAUCUGAGAUCCAUUCAGUUUCAGCAACGGUAUUGUCCAAAGUGAGAGCUGCAAAAGCUUGCGGUAUGUCUUCAUGUUGAUUUGGUCGUUUUGGAACCCACCAGCAUAUCUUUGCAAUAUGACCUGCUACCCCACAGUACUGGCAGGUUUCUUCUCGGUACAACUCACGUUCUGCAGGAGUCAUGCGUUGUUCUCCAAAUGGAGGGGGUCGUUUCUGUUUAGAGUCUGAGGUGGGUCUGGUAGUGUAGGUACGUACCUUAUCUUUAGGUUGUUGUGCAUGGAAACCUCUCCCAGUAGAUAUGAAGCUUUGUUUGUUGCCAUAGUUUCCUGAAGAGUAUUGUUGAGAACGUUGAUGUCUUUGCCCAUAAAAUGCUAGUUGUGGAGUGAAUGAAUUAGCUGUCUGGUUGGUGAACCAAUUUCGUCUUUGAUCUAGACUCUGUAAUUGAGAGACUAACUCAGAGUAAGAAGGUCUUGGUGGUUUCAGCAUUGUGGUAGUGAAGGUUUCAUAUUGAGGGCCAAGGCUUGUGAGGAGACAAAAGACUUUUUCUUUGUCUGGGAUUGGUUUCCCAAUAGCUGCAAGGCUGUCGCAUAAUCCUUUGAAGGUUCGAAUAUGUUCUCCAAUGGUUUUGUCAUCUUCUUUGCGGAAAUAAGUAACUUGUUGUCUGAGGGAGAAUUCUCGUUCUUGGGAGUCUUCUGCAUACUCAUUUUUUAGAGCAUUCCAGACAGCAAAUGUUGUAUCUAAGCCUACAGCAAGGCCUAGUGUUUCUUCUGAAAGUGUCCCGAUCAGCCAGCCACGAAGGAGUCGGUCUGACUUUCUCCAGACAAUGUAUUCUUCAGUUAGUUUUGAUGAAGAAUCUGUAGUGGUGACAUGAUCUGGUACAAUAUAUUUGUUAGGGGCUGUGUCUUCAAUGGUGAGAUGCUCAACCAAGUCUUGACUUUCUACAAGGGAUAAGGCUUGUUCUCUCCAUAAUGGAUAAUUUGUAGGGGUGAGUUUGAGGGUAAUAAAGUUACCAACAUUGAGUGACAGGGUAGACAUGUUGUGUGAUUUUGCUAGGAUUGUUGUAUGUUCACAAUAGCUCUGAUACCAAGAGAAAAAUUACAGAGGAUAGGUAUAAAAAAAGGUUUCUCUGUUUCUUAAGAAAACAACGUGAAUAUACAGCAAUACAUUCUGCAAGGGCUGCUGGUUAUUAUAUAGCAAUACAAGUUGCUUAAAUUGGAUACAUUAAAUAGCCUAAUUCUCAGCUGAUUUACUUCCAUAAUCAGCCAACAUCUCUUUCUGUUUCUGUCUUGUCCUCCAACGUAACAUUCCUUAUUGCUGCAGUUGAUUUGUUUCUAUAAUCAACCAAUGUCUCAACGUCUCUUUCUGUUUCUGUUUUGUUACCAUUAAUAACCAACAGGUCAGGUCGUUGCCGUGAAGAAACUUCACCCAUCAAGAGAGGGCGAGCUUAUGGAUUUGAAAACUUUUAGAAAUGAGAUUCGCAUGUUAAUAGAUAUUCGACAUCGGAAUAUUGUGAAGUUAUAUGGAUUUUGUUCAUUAAUGGAGCACUCUUUUUUAGUUUACGAGUUCAUAGAAAGGGGAAGUUUGAAGAUGAAUUUAUCUAGCGAAGAACAGGCAAUGGACUUGGACUGGAAUAGAAGGCUUAAUGUUGUUAAAGGAGUGGCCAAUGCAUUAUCUUAUUUGCACCAUGAUUGCUCGCCUCCAAUCAUUCAUCGAGACAUUUCCAGCAGCAAUGUUCUUUUAGAUUCGGAAUACGAGGCUCAUGUUUCGGAUUUUGGGACAGCUCGGCUCUUGAUGCCUGACUCGACCAACUGGACCUCAUUUGCUGGCACCUUCGGAUACACAGCUCCAGGUACAUAUUUGAUUUCAUUCUUAACAUACAUACAUAUACAUAUACAUAUACAUACAUAUAUAUAUAUAUAUAUAUAUAUAUGAAUCAAUUGCUAAAGGAUGAAAAUGGAGGGCUGCUUUUUGAUGCUCUAAAGGUGAUGUCUAAUAAAUUGUCAUAUUAGCAGUACAAUACAGCCAGUACUCUGAAAAAAUGACCAAAAUCUUUGCAGAGCUAGCUUACACAAUGAGAGUGAACGAGAAGUGCGAUGUCUACAGCUUUGGAGUGGUCACAAUGGAAGUGAUAAUGGGAAUGCAUCCGGGUGAUCUCAUCUCAUCUCUUUCUGCAUCUGCUUUUUCCUCCUCGUCGAGCUCACAAAUCAACCAGCAUGCAUUGUUGAAGGAUGUGAUAGACCAACGUAUCCCACUUCCUGAAAAUGGAGUUGCAGAAGGUGUGGUCUCCAUUAUCAAAAUAGCAUUGGCAUGCUUGCUUGCCAAUCCCCAAUCUAGGCCAACCAUGCGACAAGUAGCUACGCAGCUCAUAGCUCGAUGGCCUCCGCUGGCAAAGUCAUUCUCCGCAAUAACAUUGGAAGAUCUGAUGCCUCAAACAACUGUGACAGGCUGAGAAUUUUCCAAAAGAUUUUCUAUAAUUAUGUAGCAUGUGAUUGUUUCUACUUAUGUUAGUUUCAAUUUUCGUAGCUUUGUUUGUAAUAAAUUAGUUCGCCGCUUUGUAUUUUGUUUCUUCAACGAUUAAUAUGUUUUAGUACAGUAUUAUUAUCAAUCAAAGUGAAGAAAGGCUCUCUGCUAUAAUGAGGACACCUGGAUUUCAAGAUUUUGUUUCAUCCCUUGUAAUAAAAGAAAUCUUCAAUUCAUUAUUGAGCUGAAAUGAAUAAACUAGCAUGAGAGGCUUUUAGAAUUGAUGCACAUACUAUGCAUCUGCACUUAAACUAUGAAUCCACACUGAUAAUACUACAAAAACUUAAACUAUCAACUACACAGAGUUCUUCACAGUGAACUCUUGAAGAAUCCUUCGUGCAGCCUGGAUUCUUUAAAGAAAAGAAAAAAGAUACAAAAAUAAUUGAAUCAAGAAAUUUUAAAAGGAAGAAUAUAAUGUUUUUUAAGUUUUUGGUAAAUAAAUGAAUCAAUUAGUUGACACAAAAAAAAAGUGACAGAUUUGUAAAUUCCUCACAUCAACUACAUUAUCAUUUUCAUGGGUUCUGUUCAUUUCCUUGUGGGUAGGGUUCUUUCCUGUAAUUAAAGUAAUAUAAUUUUGCAGGGGCGAGCAGGCCCAUGAGGUCUUCUUUUUUAUACACUAAACUGCAGUUUAAGCCCAAACAAAUAUAAAAAAAAUAUGCAUUUCAAAAAAUAUGCCAGAAACGCAGAGUAUUCAAAUGGAUAUAUAGAAUUUGAUGGAAGUUAUUGUUUUUAAGAAAAAAAAAAUUUUAAAAAUAUAUUAAAAUAGUAUAUAUUUUUUAUUUUUUAAAAUUAUUUUUAUAUUAAUAUAUCAAAAUAAUUAAAAAAUAAAAUUUAACUAAAAAUAAAAAAAAACUAUAAAUUUUUUAAAAACAUAAAUACUCACCACAAAAACAAGCAAAAUCCAAGUUGUAACACAGUUUUCAAGGUUUAUCAUUUCAACCCACAAAUCAAAACGGUUAGAAUCCAAUUUUCUUAAAGCAACUUUGUUUGCUUUUGAAAAUCUUUGACACAAAUCAAAGUUAGUAUUUUAAUAUUUUUAAAACGAAAACAGAAAUGAUAUCCAAAUUCACGUUUUUCAGUAAUUUGCCAGUACCAUUAUUCCUCUUUCCUUUGAAGCAUAACAUUCAGAAAAAAAAAAAUUACUUAAACGAAUUGAAAGAAUUCAAUGAAUGGGUACUACGUUCAAAAACACGAAGAAAAGGAAUGUCCAAUUUGAUAUUCAUAAUAUAAGUUUAUUUUGAUUCAAAAAUUUGUUUUCUGUACUUUUUUAGUACUUGGAUGAAAGAGACUCAAAGAAAAUGAUGUUAGAAAGAGAAAAUUCUUGAUUAGAACCGAUUCUAGUAACCAAAAAAAAUUAAUAUUGAUGUCAAAAGAUUCUUAGAAAAAAUAAGUUCUAUUAAGGUAUUAUUUGGACUAAAGUUUAAUCACAGUUUCAUUUUGUUGAAGUAUUGAAAAUACUAAAGUUUCAUUUAAUAAAUUUCAAUCGCGGGGCAUGCAUGUAUGUAUGGCAUGAAGGCCUCGUGUUCAUGCCAAUAACAAAAUCAAAUAAAUCAAAAGGAAAGGGGGAAAAUUAAGUAUGGUGAGUCAAUUUCAUCAACCCUAUAGACUUCCUAAUAAAACCUUCCAUGCUGCAGUAACAUGCCUCUCUUCAGUCAAUGGUGCUCCCACAGCAAUACGUAAUAUGUACUUGCCUGAUAGAACCUGCAAAGAUUGGUGAAUAUAACCAAAAAUAUAAAUGGUUUUUAAUAUUUCCAACUUUUUUUUUCCUUCUACUUUUUUAUAUGAACAGGCACGAAUCAGAUUUUAUCCGAAAUAUUGUGGAAGAUGUGUUGGCUAAAUUGGGUCCUAAAAGUCUAUAUCGUUCUGAACACCUUGUGGGUAUUGAUUCUCACGUUGAUAAUAUUAUUGCCCUACUAAGAAUUGUUACAGAUGAAAGUCGCAUUGAGGGCAUACAUGGAAUGGGCGGGAUAGGUAAGACAACUCUAGCAAAAGUUGUAUUUAAUCUGCUCUUCUGUGAAUUUGAGGGAAGUAAUUUUCUUUCUAACGUCAGUGAACAUUCAAAAGCCCUCAAUGGUUUGGUUCAGCUACAAAACCAGCUGCUUUGUGAUACUUUGAAAACAAAAAAUAUUGUUAAGAUCAAUAAUGUAGACAGGGGAAUGAUUUCAAUCACAGAAAGACUCUGUUCCAAAAGAGUUCUUGUUGUUCUUGAUGAUGUGGAUAACGAGUAUCAAGUUAAAGCAUUGGUGGGAGAAAAUAGGUUUGGUCCUGGAAGUGUAAUAAUUGUUACAUCUAGAAAUGAGCAUGUUUGCUUUGUGAUACUAACGGAAGUGUAAUAAUGGUUACAUCUAGAAAUGAGCAUGUUUGCUUUGUGAUACUAACGGAAGUGUACUAAUUUUAUUUCCUUGGUAUUGCAUGUUUCUUCGUUGGCAGAAGCAAAGAAUAUGUGUCAACCAUACUACAUGCCCGCUAUGGUUUCAAUCAAGAAAUCAAUUUAACAAUUCUUGUUGAAAGGUCUCUCUUAGAAGUUAAUUUACAGAAUCAAUUAAGGAUGCAUGAUCUAGUAAGAGACAUGGGAAGAGUGAUAGUUUGUCAAAUGUAUCCCCGACAUCCUGGAAAACGCAGCAGAAUUUGGCUUCAUGAGGAAGCAUGGGAAGUGCUCAAAAUGUACAUGGUAAGAUGCAUUGCUGUAGUCUUGUGCGCAGAAUCACAAAGUCUUAUAUUUAUUUCCCGUUGAGCUUGUUUUCAAAUAAUUUUAACAAAAUAAUUUUGUAUAGAUCUACUUCCAAACCAUGAUAUAUGUCGUUCUACUGAAAUUUCUUGCUUUUGUUAGGGAACAAAAAAAGUGGAGGGUCUUGUGCUAGAUGUUCAAACUUCAAAUGCUGAACCUUUAAGAACAGAAUCAUUUGAAAACAUGAAAUAUUUGAAUUUACUCCAAAUCAAUGGAGUUCGUCUCAAAGGAUGCUAAAGACAUCUUCCCAAAGGGAUUAUAUGGCUUUGUUGGCAUGGAUGCUCUUUGAGAUCUUUUCCACCUAAAUUUCACCUGCACUCUCUAGUUGUUCUUGAUAUCCAGUACAGUAACAUCAAAGAACUGAAGGUACAGACUAUGUAGCUUCCCCCCGACAAAAUUAUUCCUCAUGCAGCUUAAAUUACUUAAACAACAUUUUUUUUUCAUUGUUAAUUCUUUCUCAUUUUCCUCACUGUUUUGACAGUCUCUCAACAAUCUGAAAAUCCUCAAUCUCAGCAAUUCUAAGUUUGCUCAAACACCAAACUUCCUAGAUGUCUUUAGACUUGAGAGACUAGUACUUGAAGAUUGCAGAAAUUUAGCUGAGGUGCACCAGUCUGCUGGACAUUUGAAGGAACUUGUUCACUUGAGUUUGAAAGGAUGUUACAGCCUAAAUAAUCUUCCAGAAAGCAUUUGCAACUUGAAAUCUCUUGAAACUCUAGACAUUAGCAUGUGCUCGAGGCUAGAGAAUUUACCAGAGCACUUGGGUGUAAUGGAAUCCUUAACUGAGCUGCUAGCUGAUGAAACUGCAAUAAGGCAACUUCCCUCAUCAGUUGGACAAUUGAAGAGACUCAGAAAGUUAUCAUUGAGUGGAUGCAAUAGCAAGCAAGACUCACCGUUUACUUCUUGGCUUUCACUAAUUUCGUCAUGGCUUUCACCAACGAGUUCAACCUCCAAAGUUUUGCUGCCAGCUUCUCUUAGUAGUUUAAGCCUAUUGAGAGGACUAGAUCUUAGUUAUCGUGGAUUAUCUGAAGGUGAGAUUUCCAUAGAUCUCGGGAGUUUUUCCUCUCUCCAAGAAUUGAAUUUGUCCGGAAACAAAUUCUUCAAUCUGCCUUCUGGCAUUGGCCUCGUUCCCAAGCUUAACUAUUUACUGGUUAAGGACUGUACAAAUCUUCUAUCAGUUCCGGAGCUCCCAUCAAGUUUAAUGGAACUGGAUGCUAUUAAUUGUUCGGCGUUGGAGAGACUGACAAUUCAUUCAAAAAGAAUCCCAUCACUGUAUGUGAGUGGGUGCAACAAUUUAAUAGAGAUUAAGGGUAUGGAAGGUAUGGGUAAGAGAUGGGUCAUUGUAUCUGAAGACCGGAGCAAUUUAUCAAAUAAUUUGAAGCAGAGUCUUGUUCAGGUUCUCUCUCUCUCUCUCUCUCUCACUCACACACACACACACACACACACACACAAGUCUCACGCAUAUGAAUGUUGAUUAGGUCUAAAGUUUUAGCUUUCCUUAAAACAGGCAUUAUGCAAGGGCGAAGAGUAUGACAUUGUCAUUGCUGACGGUGAGAUGCCAGAAUUGUUCAGCAAUCGAGGAGAAGGAUCUUCAUUAUCAUUUCAUGUACCUCCAGGUUCAGACGGUAAUAAAAUCCAAGGGCUGGUUGCUUGGGUUGUCUGCGCCAUCGAUGGAAACAUAUCUGCUUAUCUGCGGGGAGAGGCUGUUAUAAGAAAUAAGAGCAACGGUGUUCAAUUGUUUAAAAGAUCAAUAAUGUUGUUUACGAUGAGCACAAAUUCAAGCAACCAGUGUUCUUGGGUAAACCACGUAUCAUUGGCUGCACUUCCUCCGAAUGCAAUGAAAGCUGGAGAGGAAUUGGAGCUAUCUGUUGAAGUAAAACAUACCUCUUUUGAAGUACAAAAGUGUGGAGUCCAUAAUAGUAAAGAAGCCAGAAGUUGAAUACUUUGAUGACAGCUAGGGAACUGUUCGCCAUCAUGAUGACAAUAUCAUAUCAUCCUUUCCCCUGUCCUUGUUCAUUCUGUAUGUUCAGGUCUCAUCCAAUUAAUAGGUCUCGAUGACCUUAAAGGAAUUAGAGUUCAUAUUCGUUGUGAUGAGGUAAGAUGCUUGCAUUAAAUAAAAUAUUACCUGAUAACUAUAUUAAUGUAUCGAAAUCCUGUUCACAUGCUCUCUGUAUUUAGUCAGCCUGAAUUCUUUGCGUCCUUUUCCUACAGAAAAUAAACUAAUUCGACGAUCCAUCGGUUCAUUAUUUCCAUUAGUUUGACUGGGGCCACUAUCUCCUCCUGGACUCCAGGGAGCUCUACGCUUGGCAAAACCAGAGUGACUUUCAGUUUGUCUCCUUAAAUAGAGGACAUUAAAAUUUUAUACAAAUUGGAAUACCAUAAAUUAAACUGGCACAUUUGCGCACCUGGAAACCACCAUAUUGUAAGCUGUGUGCCUUUACUGUUAUCACUUUCUGAGCUGCAUAACAAAUGAAUUCCUAAUUAUGAUGAACAUGUCUGCACUGCUUUAAUUAGUCCUUCUAGUCCUGUUUUAUUGAUGUGAAUUUCCGAAUGUGGAAGUGAGGACAUAUAUAUUCAUCUAUACAAUGUACUACAACCAAUUUACUAGUUGAAUGUCUGAUUGACGCUCUUCUUUGAUAUUACUUAAUCUAUACAAUGCUUUAACUCCAGAUUUUCAUGUUCAUAUCUACCGUCCUCUGACCCCAAAAGACUGAAGGUGUGUGUCUGUGGAACCGGAAGAAAUGCGUGCAGCUGUAGCCAUUCUCUCUUGAAGAUUUUGAAAAUGACAUUUGCUACAAGAGCAGUAAUUUGAAUGCUGAAAAUGCUUUCUGCCCUUCAAAGAGACAACUACGAAUCUUUUUCAGCUGUGCUGGAAAGAACUCGACCAUUGAAGGCAAGCAAAAACUCUCUUGCUACUCUGUAAAUUAAGUCUUUUCAAAUUUGGUUUCAUCUUUAUCUUCGGUGGAGCUCCUCUGGUACCACACCUUCGUGACUUGUUUAUUCUCUUAACAGAUAACAUUAACUAAUUGGACAGACUAUCUUUGUGAUUUCAUAGACAUAACCAGCAUAUAUUGGCUAUUUUUUUUUACUUAAAACUCAAAUUUUUUAAAAAAAUUGUUAAUUUUUUUUGAAUGUUUUCACAUCGUUUGGAUGUGUUGAUCUCAAAAUAAUUUUAAAAAAAUAAAAAAAAAUAUUAUUUUGAUGUAUUUUUAAACGAAAAGUAUUUUGAAUUGUAACCGCUAUCGUAAUCCCAAAUAUGUUUGAAGGUCUUCAAUCUGUAAAUGAAACAACACUAGGCAAAUUGUAUUUGAUUUUUUAUAUUUUGAAUUAUUUUAAAAAAAUAUUCAUGUAACCAAGAUCUUGAAAACCCACAAAUGAUCUCGUAAGUCCUGUUAAGAGCAUAACCAAUUUUAAAAUUAUUUUUCUUUUUCAUUAAAAAAAAAAUUAUUUGUUUUUCUUAGCUAAUUAUAUUUCUUUUGCUUGAUUACUUUAAUGGAGCUUAUGGGAAAAUUUAUCAUUUCUCUUUCUUAAUUAAAAAAAAAAAAUCAAAUUUGAAUUUCUAAGCAUUAUCUUCUUUUACUAAUUGAAGGCUAAGUUAGAUUUAUUCAAUAUAAACACAAGCCAUGCGAGCUUGACAACAAGUUAGUGCUAAUGUUAAUUGUAAACAAAAUGUAAAGUAAACGACUUAGUUUAUGAAAUUAGUAAUAGUGAGAUUCAAGUAAUUAAACUAUCAUAUAAUACAAAUUAACCUGUUUUAAAACUUUGCAUAAAAUGUUCAAAAAUUUUUUUUCUGUUUUUUUUGGGUGUACGAAGUAGGUAACUUGUUAAUAAGCUGCUUCCAAGAAACUACGCAUCACCGAAACCAACUCCUAAAAUGAUUUUUUCUUCGAGGCUUGUCCUACUUGGUGCUUCAGUUAUGGGGCACGUCUCACUGCUACUAUCCCUCGCUGCAUGCCGUUACCACCGCAUGGCAUUCUCUGGCCUUAUUUAGAAAACAGAACAGGGGGAACGAAGGAGAUAAAAAACCAGAGGAAACAGGGGAACGGACCAGGGAAACAGGGAGGAGAGAGACAGAAAAACCAGGAGAGAGAGAGAGAGGGACAAACGAAAAACAGAGAACAUAAACAGAGAAAAACUCUGGGGGAAGACGCAAACAAAGGAAAUUCCAAGGAAUUGGGAGGGGGGCUCUUCCAGAAGAGAAAACACUAGAGGACUGAGGCAGGGGACGGAAGAAUAGCAGCAACACGGGGGACAGAAGAAGACCAUAUAAAUAUAUAUGGACUGAUUUAAAAUUAUUUUACUCAUUUAUUAAUGCGCAUUAGUAUGUUUUAGCCAGUAAUCAAUAAAUCCUUAAUAAUUUAAAAUAAAACUAGUAAUCAACCUGUUUUAGCUAAAAAAUUUAAGAGAUAAUAAUAUUUUUUAUUUUACACAACCAGUCUUGUACCAUAAAAUCUCUAUUGAUGCAAAUGACAAUAACAAAAUUAAAAGUUAAAAAUUAAAAAACAAUUAAUAAUUAUAUCAAAUAAUAAAAAGAUUUUAUUAUUAAAUAUUUUCUUUUCAAGUGUUAUGCUAAAAUACAAGUUAAAAAAACCUUUUUUAUAGUAGUACUAGGCCUAUCUUAAAAAGGAAAGAAAUCCUAAUAAAUAAUUAUAGAGUUAUUCCAUGAAUUUUCUAAACUAAAUAAAAAAGAUAAAAUUACCGAGCAUAAUUUUUUUUUUUUUUUGGUGUAAUGAAAAGAAAAAAGAACAAACUAGCCUUCCCUACAUUAGCUAGUACCAGAGGAGAUAAGAAAUCCCAGGAGGAGAGGAAUCCUUGAUAUAAAACUCAAUCCUGUACUCUGCUCCCAUCUUGGCUCCAUUUUGUUUUCCUCACUGUUGAAAGCUUCCGACAAGUUAAUAAGUUUAUAAACUGGAUUGAAUAUGAAUAAGAGUAACUCGUAAGAACAAUUAAAAGUCAUAGAUACCAUAUUGGAUAAUAAACAAAAAUUAAAAGAAGUAAGAGAAAAAAAAGAAGCAAAAAAUAAAAAAAAAACUGAAGGUGAGAGAAGCUGAAAAAGAAAAAGAGAAAGAGGGCUGGAAAAGUGUGCAACUCACAAAUUAUUUAAUUCAUCAUCAAUAAUUCCCCCAUAAAACAACUAACAAUUAGGCCAAAGACCUACAUAAAUGAAACUAAAAUCUAAAAUAAAAUAAUAUCAAGUUUUAUUACAAAACUAAACUAAAAAUAAUAAAUUAAAUCCAAAAAUAAAAAUAUAAGCUAAAGCCCAAUCUUUUAAUAGGUUAGGCUAUCCUCUAUCAUUGAUGAUCAUACACGGGUGCAUUUUAAUAGGUUAGGCUAUCCUCUAUUAUUGAUGAUCAUACACGGUGCAAAUUAUAUCUCGAGUAUGAUGUUUCCAACAACUAGGGUGAUGAUUUAACUAUAUGUUUUCUAAAAUAAAACUCUGUCAAAUAUAUCAGGAUUGGCUUGAAUGACCUGAUAUAAAGUUGAAACUUUUUUAGAAUAUGCUGCUUUUUUUUACUGUGAAAUCAAUUUUAAGUUUAUAGAGAACGUUUACCUUCUCAAUGUUUUGUAAUCCAAUCAAUGGACAAUCGAAGAAAGGAACCAGCAAUUUCAAAUUGCGUGAAUACAACUUAGUACCCGAUCAAAAAUCAUGGGUAAUGAGGAUUGAAGUCCAAGUAAUGCAAGCAGACUCUUAUAGACUUCAUCAACGAUGUAGCACAUCAUGGAAUAAUUUGAGAUGAGGAUUUGAUUGAAUAUAGUUCAGAUCACAGCAUAAUCCCUAAAAAUCCACGAAAAUAACACCUCAUAACAAGAAACAAAACUCUAAUUAAAAGUUAAUAUAUUUAUGUUGCCAAUGUCAUCAAUUUUCUUUCCCACGAAGGACAGCAUCCAAAAGCAGCAAUUUUUUUCAAAGAGGGCUUUGUGUUUCUUCGUUUGGUUUCCAAUUUUUUCUCCAAACCCUAAACUACACACACAUAACCCCUCAAGAUUCAUAGAUUUGGGCCUUGUCCCCUCUCAGAAAAAAAAAAAAAAACAUAAUCAAAGUUCAUCCUUUUGACAUGUCAACGUCAUAAUUCAUCUUCGACACGAAGAACAACAUUUAAAAGAAGCAAUUUUGGAAGAGGGUUUUGUUUCAUUUUGUUUGUUUCCGGACAUCUUCCCAAGAAACAACCAGAAAACGCAAUUGAAGAGGGAGAAUAAUAAGGAAGAUACCUCUCUUUGCCUGAGAAGGAGCUCUUCUUUUCAUUAUCUGUUGCUCCCGAGCAGCAUCUAAUUCCAUGAAUUCUCUGCAAAAUUAAUGCUAGUCAAUUGGCUAGAAAGUAGAGAGAAAUUCAACUUGAAAAUUGAAACUUCGACAGGAUGAAUAAUUUGAAGGGCGAGUCCCUUGCUUUGUUACCUUAAUAGUCAUUAAGGUUGUUGGAUUCAGAGAGCAUAUUCCCGCCAUUUUUGUAACAGACAUGGAAUGGAAUCAGUUAAUCAGUCCAUGCAAGUGUCAUUACUCGAGGACUGGUCGCCACUAAUGAUCUGCCUCGUCAAAGAUGUUUGCUUAACUUUACUUUGAGAUUGUUAUGAUUUAAAAUAUAUUAAAAAAAUGUUUUUUAAUUAAUAUAUUAAAAUAAUUUAAAAAUACUAAAAAAUAUUAAUUUUAAAUAAAAAAUUUAAAAUUUUAAAAAAUACAAGUUGAACUACAUUUUCACAUUGCUAUAAUUAUUUUUUAUUUGAAAAUAUAUAAAAUAAAAAUAAUAUAUUUUUUAAAAAUUAUUUUUAAUAUUAAUUUGUUUCAUUUUGUUUGUUUCCGGACAUCUUCCCAAGAAACACGCAGAAAACGCAAUCGAAGAAGGAGAAUAAUAAGGAAGAUACCUCUCUUUGCCUGAGAAGCAGAAAACCCUUAAAAGCUCCGUGACCCCACUUACAGCCAAUUUCAAAGAGGAUGUUUGAUAAUUUUUUAAAAGUAUUUUUGAAAAAAUUUAAAAUAUUUUUUUUUUUUAAUUUUAAAUUAAUAUAUUUUUAAUGUUUUUAAAUUAUUUUUAUGUGCUGAUUUCAAAAAUAAUUAAAAAAAUAAAUUAUUAGCAUUUUUCUAAGUAAAAAAUACUUUGAAAAUCAACAGCAACUACACUCUCAAAAUUGGUGGGGGUUUUAGUUCUAGUUUGGCUUUUAUUUUCAUUAUCUGUUGCUCCUGAGAGGAAUCUAAUUCCAUGAAUUCUCUGCCAAAUUAAUGCAAGUAAAUUGCCUAGAUAGAAGAGAGAAAUUCAACUUGAAAAUGGAAACUUCGACAAAAUGAAUAACUUGAAGGGUGGGUCCCUUUCUUUGUUACCUUAAAAGUCAUCAAGGUCGUUGGAUUCAGAGAGCAUAUUCCCGCCAUUUUGUAACAGACAUGGAAUGGAAUCAGUUAGUCAGUCAAUGUAGGUGUCAUUUCUCUAGUACUGGUAGCCACUAAUGAUAUGCUUCGUCAAGUAGUUUUGCUUAGCUUAGCUUUCGGUAGUUGUUAUAAUUUUUUUUGUUUGAAAAUAUAUAAAAAUAAUAUAUAUUUUUAAAAAUUAUUUUUAAUAUUAAUAUAUUAAAAAUAUAAAAAAUUAUUUACAAAAAAAUCUAAAAAUUAUAAAAAACCAUAAAAAACAAAUAUCUUUUUAUUCUAAUCUAAUCUGUUUCUCCAAAUUUUUAUAUGGUUAUGUUUGAAUAAUUUUAAAUUUGAAUGUUAAAAUAUAUUUUUUAAAAUAUUGCUUUGAAAUUUGUUUUUUCAAGAAUCUUAUUUAAGAGCAAAUAUCCUCUCAUCUAUCUAUUUAUUUCUUUAAUAUAAUAGAUGAAUUUAUAUAAGAUUAUUAAAAGAAAAUGAAAAUUACUAAAAUAAAAAAUUUCAGAGAAAUAACUGAAUCAAGAUAUUUUAAAGGAAGAAUAUAUAUUUUUUAAGUUUUUGGUAAAUAAAUGAAUCAAUUAAUCGACACAAAAAAAGAAAAAAAAAAAAGAAAAGUGACAGUGGAGUGGAUAAUGGGCCAUUUAUAUAGGCCGCGCUAUAUCAUAAACAAAUGGGCUCAGGCAUGAACUGGGCCUGCACCUUGUGACUGAUUUUUCUACACGGUCGUUUGCUCGCACCAUGUGAAAGACUUUAUUACGUGUAGAAAAAGACACACAGAACAUAGAUUUAUUGACUUCGUGUUUUUUCUUCAUCCUUCUUCAAUGUUGUGAUUUUUCUAAUUUUUUCUGAUUUUUUUUUAAUUUGUCAUUCGGUUUAUUUUGAGCCGAUAUUCAUAAUAUAUUUCAAUUUGAUUUAUAUAAUAUCCUAUCAUAUGAACAUCUUCAACAUUUGCUAUCUUAUACUAACUACUGAAUUUCCAAGUACUUCAUUAAUUAGCAAGUUCAAACCCAAUGAGCACGAUAAACAUCUUAUUGGUUGGUGAAGCUUUAAUAGGGAGUCAAAUUUGGACAACUCAAAUUUGAAACGAUGACCCACAAUAUUCUUUGGAAAGGUACGUAGAACAAAGAUUAUUUAGAAAUUUCAGAAUGAAAGAUUCCUCUACCUUGCAAUUCCAAUUAAUUCAGAGAGCCCGCGUUUAAUUAAGCAUUAUUUCGUCACCGAUUCAAUUAAAGGAGAGAAAACUGAUGCAGGAGAUUUUAAAAAACAAAAUAUUUUUUUCUUAAUUAUUUUUAUUUUUUUAUUUAGUUUAGAAAUGAGCUACGGAUUUUGAACAAAUGAGCCAACAAUUAAGCAUCUUUAGAAAUUACAGGACUUGGAAAUGAGUCUUCCUAAGAUUUAGAAAUUACAGGUCACUGUUGUUGACGUAUAUAUGUCAAAUUCUGUAAAAUAAGAACAAAGAUGAAUACGAAAUUUCACAAUUAAAAAUUCCAAUAAACAUUCCAUUUAUUUUUUUUUUCUAUAAAUACCUAUCAUUGGAGCCUAGAAUCUUCAUCUGCCGUAGGAAACCAUAUCCCUUAGACAUGAUGUCCUUACUACAGAAACCAUUCUCAAAGUUUCUCCAAGUCCUUUUUUUUCUCCUUCUAAUGUGCAUUCCUUCUUUCUUUGCCUUUCCUCCUAAUUCCUCUGCAACUUCAUUUGGUGCUGCCAGAUAUGUAGCUGCUGAUGGUAAUAGAGAAGCGGAGGCUCUCCUAAAAUGGAAAGCAAGUCUUGAUGACAACCACAGCCAAUCUGUCCUGUCUUCUUGGGUUGGCAGCAGCCCUUGCAAGUGGCUUGGAUCACUUGUGCAAUUCUGGAAGUGUCGCGGAUUUCAGCCUUCCACAUUUUGGUCUGAGAGGUACGCUUCAUAGUUUCAACUUCUCAUCCUUCCCCAAUCUUCUCGCUCUCAAUCUCUCGAGCAAUUCACUCUACGGAACUAUUCCAUCCCACAUUAGUAACCUGACCAAAAUCACCAAUUUAGACUUAGUGAUAAUCAUUUCACAGGAAUUAUUCCACAUGAGAUAGGAUUGUUAACAAGUCUUAACUUUCUCUACCUUCAUGAAAAUAAUAUCGUCGGUUUGAUCCCAGUCUCUAUUGGAACCCUGAAACACCUAUCCAUUCUCUGUCUAAGGGGUAACAACCUCUUUGGCUUGAUACCUCCAGAGAUUGGAUCUUACAGUCUCUCAGUUCCUUGACUUGUCAAGCAAUGAUUUAACUGGUAGGAUCCCUUCUUCAAUUGGAAAUCUGAGAAACUUAUCAAUUCUUUCUCUUAGGGAUAACAAACUCUCUGGUUCCAUCCCUUCUUCUAUUGAAGAUCUAAGAAACUUAUCUAUUCUCAAACUCUCGAGAAACAAACUUUCUAGUUCCAUUCCUUUUUCUUUUGGGAAUAUGAGUAAGCUCACUGACUUGUAUCUUAGUAAGAAUAAUCUCACCGGUUUGAUCCCAGUUUCUAUUGGAACUCUGAAACACCUAUCUGUUCUUUAUCUAGGAUGUAAUAAUUUAUCUGGAUCUAUUCCUCGGGAAAUAGGACAACUUGAAUCCCUUGUUAUAUUGAGUUUAUUCAAUAAUAAUCUCAAUGGUUCUCUACCCCCCGAGAUGAAUAAUCUCACACAUUUGAUGGCUUUGCACUUGUCUUCAAACAAUUUCACUGGCCAUUUACCACGAGACUUGUGCGUUGGUGGGUUGCUUGUAAAUUUUACAGCCCACUCCAAUCAUUUUUCUGGUCCAAUCCCUAAAAGCUUGCGAAAUUGCACUAGUCUAUUUAGAUUAAGGCUUGACCGAAACCAAUUGACAGGGAAUAUUUCUGAAGAUUUUGGCCUCUACCCACACUUAAACUAUGUGGACCUAAGUCACAAUGAUUUGUCUGGAGAGCUUACGUGGAAAUGGGGAAGUUUUCACAACUUGACGAGCCUAAAAUUGUCAAACAAUAAUAUCACCGGUGAGAUACCAUCAGAGCUUGGAAAGGCCACUGGACUACAACUGAUUGAUCUCUCAUCAAAUCUCCUAAAGGGGACAAUUCCAAAAGAAUUGGGGCAGUUGAAAGCGUUGUUCAACCUUACUCUUCAUAACAACCAUCUUUUUGGUGUCAUUCCCUUUGAAAUCCAAAUGCUAUCUCAACUUCAAUUCCUUAAUUUAGCUUCGAAUAAUCUUGGUGGAUCAAUCCCAAAACAACUGGGAGAGUGCUCAAAUUUAGUACAGUUGAACUUGAGUCAUAAUAAGUUCAUAGGGAGCAUCCCAUCUGAGAUAGGCUUCCUGCAUUUUCUUGGAAAUCUAGAUCUCAGUGGGAAUGUUCUGGCAGGAGAGAUACCAUCACAAAUUGGGCAAUUGAAACAGUUAGAAACGAUGAACCUGUCUCACAACAAACUUUCUGGUUUGAUUCCAACUGCUUUUGUAGAUUUGGUGAGCUUGACAACUGUAGACAUCUCCUACAAUG